Molecule: long non-coding RNA, 58664 nt
Filed under: Lathyrus oleraceus (garden pea)
Lineage: Eukaryota; Viridiplantae; Streptophyta; Magnoliopsida; Fabales; Fabaceae
Description: Pisum sativum (pea) long non-coding RNA (PSAT_LNC019489)
Source: RNAcentral
UUUUUUUUUUUGUUGUUCACCUUGCGAUUUUUGGGAAACAGUAAUGGAUGGGGAUUGAGGGAUGUGAGAGUGGAGAGUACAGUACUGACGAUGUCCCGCUUAGCUUUAGGAUUCUGAGCUGUAGAUAUGGUGAGAAUAUUGACGGUGGUUUUUGUUUGAUUUCAUUCUAUCUAUCGAGCGGUAUUAGUUAAUCAGAAGUGGUCAGAUUCACGCCGUUAUCUGAGGAAUGUAACACUCUUUCUUAUAGGCAUUUACUCGCGAUCUGCUGAUAAUAUGCGUAUUUCCUAUGUUCUCCUCCGCCUAUUCAACUCUUUCUUCUUAUCACGUGCUCAGUUGGUUUUCAGGUCGAGCGCGAGUGAGGAUAUUAUCGGACACCCAUCCACAGCGGUUAGAUGUGCUAGAACCAUAAGAACAUAGAUCGACUCUUUCGGCCGCAUAAGCUUAUCAAGGAUGGUUCGACAGCAAUACGAAACCGUGUGUCCCAAGGCGGCUAAGCGUGCGGAUAUCCGUGAAAAAGAUCCGAUCGCGUGGCGAAGGAGAGAGAUUCCUGUGAAACUCAUAAGUGUCAAAUCGCCGGUCUUAUCUCUGAAGGAAGAGCACGCCGACGCUCGAAGUGUGCAAUCUUAUGGGGGCUACUAGACAUCCCUCGUCUAGUAUUGAUUACUCACACAAAGGGGUUGGUUCGAGACUAUUUUAAAAUUCCUGAAACUAUUUCCUCUGGAAAUGAGAACACAAUGAGUGUUUAAACUUAGUAAAAAAAUGUAAUCUCUUAUUUCUAAUUCUGAAGUCCAUUUUGUUGAUUAUGAAAUGGCGGACAUUUACCGUGAACUUUCUCUAUUAGACUACGAAGAGCCUAAGUCGAGUGCUCCCGAUGUGUGUUUGGUGUAACGUGGUCAAUUCCUGGGGAAAAUUCGUUGGCGACAGUUAUUUUCCAUCUUUAGUAUAUGAUAACUAAAGUAUUGCGUCCUAUUAAGCACACUUAUUCUGUUUCAGCAUUGUGUGUUCGAAUGUAACACGAGCAAUAUUAUCACAUACUCCAAUCAUAUUUAGACUCAGAAGAGGGUAUGCUAGGUAGUAUGUCAGGAUAAAAAGGAAGGUACAAUUGGAUGUAGUGUAACGCUCUAGCAUCAACACCUGAUCUAUCUGUAAUAGUAAUUCUAUCAAUUAAAGCUCAUAUUUACAUACAUUCUUGAUGUUACAUCUACAUUGUUAUCUUUGUACUUAUGCAAUACCACAGAAUCAUUUAUUCAAAAUCAAUUCGUUUGUAUACUCUCAGCAUGCAUUUUGCCACUUUAUCUUCUAAGAAUAGCUUUUAAUCCGAUAUACCUUCUUGAUUUCAAGGAUAUUGUCGAACAUGUGUGCCAAUGACGUUAUUCUUUACAAGACUUUUUAGAGGGCUAACUCAGUACUAACGCUACCGUACUGUCCUUGUACUGUCCUGAUCAAAGAUUCUCUGUCGCUUAAGGUUAAUCUGGCUCUGUGAACGGGCAAGAUUAUGAGUAACCAAGGUAUUUCUUCAAUUGUGGAGGGUCUCUAAUGCGAAAAGCAGCGACAGAGCUAAAGUUUUUCAGGAGUUUAGAAUUUCAAAAUUAUUAAACCUUAACUUCGACGACUACAUCAUGUUUCAGAUGUAAAGACAAAUUUGGAUCUAAUGUAAAGACGUCCUCUAGUGGAAGAAAUCUUCGAUAGGGGCGUAACUGCACUCGUGUGUAGCAAUAAUCUUCUUUGGCUGUACAACAAAUGAACAAAUGACAUUCGCCCAACAAUUUGUCUGUUUCUUGAAUCUUCAAUAGUUUGGAUGAUGUAUGGUAAGCCUCACUAAGGUGCUGUUUCUUUACAACUCGUGUCGAGUGUAAGCUCGGCUAGUCGAGGCUCUGCUCGAGUAGAGCUCUCUGCUCUAUUACUGGCCAUUGUAUGAGAAGUCGUAGUAAAUCGUGUUCGCCACAACCUGCUGUGGAUCGAAUGUAAGUUAUCUAUAUCACCAAGCGACGGAGGGAACACGCCAUGAGAGGAAUGCGUGGUGAAGGUUCCACCACGAUAUCCAGAAUCUGCCAAGUGUGAUUGUAUCUCGGAUAAUUGGGGAGAGAACCACCCAAUGUGCCCAAUGAGUUCUAGCCAACAGAUCUAGAGAAUGUCGAUGUUUCAACAGCAGUUAACAAUGCCCCGAGGAAAUUCUUAAGUAUCUGGCACAAAAGCGAGACUGCUAACCUGUGGGGGGCCCUGAUGUAUAGGAAAAACGAUCAGGCCGGGGUACAUAGUUAGGGUUUACGCUCGUGUUACUGUGAUGCAGAUUAGUGCAGAAGCAGGUUAGCCUGUACGGAUAACCGAAGAAAGGGCACAUCCUGGAAUUGCCGAUUUGGAAACAAUCUCACUCUGCGCGUGGGGCUAGCAAAAGACAAGCAACUAAUUCGCGGGUCGUACACAGCAGACCGGAAGAGGAAUAUAUCUCGAUCACUUGCACACUAGCGCCCAGUGCUGCUGGCCGCCGAAAUGGAAGCAUUAGUGCAGUUAGCGGAAGACUGCAAUUUCGGGCGUGAGGGUAGCGUCCAAGUAACAUUCCUACUUCUAGUUGUCACGAGCCAAAAUUCCUGACUGGCUGCCAUUGUCUAAGAAGAUCCCAUUCUACGAUUGUCCAUAGAGGCUAAACACAGUUGAAACGUAACAUUGCGUUUGUAGAAGACUGAUGGGUUCAGAAAGGCCGUCACGGUAACAGUUGCGAAGGUUCAGUGAUACAGUUCAUCAAUGGGCAGACUUCUUACCUCAGAGCUCUAGCUGAAAGAACUAGAUUUAGGUUAUCUCUAGAAUAAUCUGAACGUUCAAAGUUGUCCAGAAUGAAGUGUGGCUCUGAAUGUAAAAUGAGGACGUCUGGCAGUAAACAAAUCACGCUGGCUCCGCGUGGUUCUGCCUGCUGCUGCUUGAUACUGGUCCUGAUCCCAUGAGAGGCCCUUUAAGGAGAGGUUCAUCCAUCUAGUGAUGUUUAGCGGGAAGAUUCCCCGUAAUGCGACGACGGCAACGUCCUAUAUUUUGGUUGGUACGUAGGGUAGUUCGGCUGCCACAGAAGCGGGUUCCGCGCAGAACAGCAAAGCAGCAGUGCCAGCCCGCCCCCGCCGCCAGGAUAGAACGUCUAGACAGCUGUCCAGAAGAAAAUCAAGGGAACGUUGAGAUCUCCUCGAGCAGUGUGCAUCACUGUUGGGAUUAGACAUUCAUUAAUUGACUUUAUCAUUUCUCCCCAAGCGUGCUUACUUGGCUUUGUGCUAACGCGAAUUUGUGUGUCGUUUGGCUGUGUUUUAACUUAGGGUAUUUAAACACUUUUCUUUCACACCUUAUCACUCUCACUCACUCUCAAACCUCUCUAAAACCCUAAACCUCUGAAGGCAUUUCUGCAAACUUUCAUCUCUUCUUCAAGUAUGGAUGGUCAACAACAAGAGAGUUUUCAACUUCUUCAACAAAUGGAAUCCACCACCACUGCCAAACUUAAGCAUUUCAACUCAAUGGUUCAGGCGUUUCCACUACCAGUUAUACAAGGAACCCCAUAUCUUGAUCGUUUACUCACAUAACUAGCAAUCCCUUUGAGGGAUUAGAUGUGUUAUGUGAAACACUGGUGUUGACAACUUGAGAAGAAAUGGAGUUGAUCUUACUGAAGAACUCGUCAACAAGGUUGGGGAAACUAAUUCGCAAGGCUCUAUGGCCCUGUUUCCACUUCUCAUCAAGGAGUUCUGGAAUUUGCAGUGCUGAUGACCAUUUCAUGCUUCUCUAUGUUUUGGGGUAAGAUAGUAAUACUGAGAGUCAAUUGCUUCUUGUGUGAACAUGGAGAAGAUGGAGGAAAAGGAUUUACAACAUCAACCCUAGAUCAAGGCGGUUGCUGAAGUAAUCAAUCCACCAUCUUCAAACCCAACACUGAGGAAUCUUCAAAGAACAAGAGCUGCUCAGAACCUCAGAGUGUGGCUCAAGAAUUCGGGGACUAUUCACCACCGCCCAGCCUCAAAUCCUCUGAUUACAUCAAUGCAGAUCAGAAGGUGCUUCUGUAUUGCAUUACAAGGUGUGAAGAUCUGCCUUCCUGCCAUACUCUUCAGUACAUAAGAGCUCUGUCAGGGAGACCGAACAACAUGAAGCUCAGAUCCUACAUCCUCUGGGAGAUUGUUAUCUGAUGUUUUCAUCGAGAAUGGGCUGUAGAUCAUCUGGAAGGCCAAGCUGAUGCUAGUUUGGCAAUAGACACUGGGAAGCCUCUGAACGCCAGAAAUCUCAAGAGUAUGGGAAUAUUAAAGAAUUCAAGUCAGACCCACGCUGGACACAUCCUGGGAUUCCUUGAAAUCAGAGGAGUUGCCCUCAUCUCUGCUAGGUUCUACAAGAUGAACCCAGCAGAUGCGGUGCUAUCUAUCUUCCAAGCGUCUGCGGAUGAAGGUGUUGACAUCUUGACUUCAGCCUCGACGAUUGUCUAGAUUCAGAAGAAGACUUCGUCAGGUACAGAGAGGUCUCUCUGAGAAGAAGAUAACAUCACAGGCAAAGAGGCAAGGACUUGGAGAUCUCUCUGGAAGCAGAUCUCCAGCUUCUCGGCAAUUUUCUUGUACGUUGUUCCUAUUUCCUUGCACCUUGAUGGUUUCUCUACUCCUUCCUCUAAUCCUUCCCAACACCACCUUUAUAAACUCUGAAAUCGCACCGCUUCGAUAUAGCCAGGACCUUAACCUUCACCAUUCUUUAAUAUGGCCCUGAUACAUUCAUACUACCUUUGUGAACCUGAACAAAGAACAGAGCAUUCUCUUAUCUCUUCAGAACAGAUCCACCACCAUACCUUCAAUCUCUCCUGAUCAGAUACUCUGACCCUGACUCCCACCUACCAAACUUCGAGGCUCAAAACCUUGCUUCAAAAACAAACAAACACAAUCUGAAGCAACUUCACCAGUUCCACCAGACAAACAACCGAACAUUACUUGGCUGAGACCAACCUCUUGAACUCAACUUACCUACUCUCCAGCACCUUGACUAUCACACUUCAAACAUCACUCCGCAGCAUCCUGAACCUUAGACUUUAACCCUGCUUGUACGGCUUCACCCCAAGAUCUUGAACCUCAACUGACAGAAUCUGGAACGCUUCACUUAAAUCUCAGCCUCCAACAUUCUCUCCACCUCAUACCUCCUGAACCGACCUUUGCGAUAUACCUACCCUUGGGAAGCAUCAUGCUGGUCGGCAGGGGUUCAGCUACAAACGAGGUCAAGAUCUCUGCACUUUACUCAUGAAUCGGUGGUAUGAUCUGACUCGUAGGACACACUGAAAAGAGUCUGGCCUGCGAUGACCUCUGUGAGGUCUUAGACCUGUAAGAACAUCUUCUGAAAAGUCAGAAAUGUAAUCAGAGAUGCUGAGGCAAGAUUCAGGAAAAGACUUGCAGAGGAAGUGCUGAAGCCAGAAGGUGGAAGAAGAGAGAUUAGCAAGAGGAAGUGAAGAAGAGGUUAGAAGGCUGGAGGAGAAAGAGAGAGAGAAGCCUGAAAUUCUAAGGAUAAAGGAAGCUGAGACAGUUGCUGUGAAGCUUGAAGCCCUGGCUGCUGUGAAGCACAGCGGCGUCUGACUAGGGGGGAGGCCUAUCUUCUUCUGUUUCCCUAUUGGUUCUCGCAGCGGCUGGAAAGAACUUAAGCAAAGAUCAGACUGACCCGUGCAGAUAGGGAUAAGAAGACAUGUCAACGACAACAUUGAACAUGCUGACUAUGUAUGCUUCAUGGAAUUGCCUCCGCCUCCGAACCCCUAGACUUAGCGACUAUGUUUUUUUGUUGCCUGUUUUGUGUUGGCUGUUCUCUAUUCUGUUUUCCUGUUCUUGUUGCCUUUGUGCUUUAUCUGAUACAAGUUUUUCUUUAAAUUCCUUAUUCUUGCUAUGUCUUUUUGAUUCUGCAAAAGGGUGGAAAGUCAUUACAUAGCUCUGAGUGAAAAGGAAUAUUGUCUAAAUUACCUUAGAGCUCUCCUGCAACUUAUUUUCUUAAAACAAGAUUUAUUCAACCGUCGGACUUAAGAAUUGCAGAAGGUAUCAAGAACCUCUUUACUUAGAAGCUCUGUGGUAAGACUUCUGAACUCCUGAGCACUAUUCAGGGGAGCUCUUGUCUAUCUGAUCUGAUAUUUCUAUAUGUGUUCAUCUGCUAAUUAAGAUUGUUUUGUCAUCAUCAAAAAUGCCGGGAGAUUGUUUAGACGAAAAUUGUUCUAUAACGACUGUCCUUGAUUUUGAUGAUACAACGAAUGAAACCAAAAUGGCACCCUAACUAAAAGUUUCUAAGCUGUGCAGGGGUUCUAAAGAAAGAGGAAGAGACUCUGAUCGAUGUCAUCAGAUACAUAUACUCACGGAUCGAGUACAAAUUAUCAGAGAUAAGAGCAUCUGAGUAAGAACACGUUCGAGAAAGUCUAACUCUGAGAAACAGCAAAGUAUCGAGAAGGAUUCUGAACAAGAAGGUAAGCUCUAGAGUUCUGACUCUGAUCAACGGCUAUCUCUAAACUCGCAGAACUAUAUCGGUUAUCUGAGAAUCCAUCAGAAUCAAAAGAGGAUCCACAUCAGACAGCAAGACUCCAGAUUCUCAGAUACACGAACUUGAUCAUGGAAUUGCUUUAAUUGAAAGAGUAACGUUAAAGUCAAGGUAAGGUUUUGCAAAUGGAUUUCCUAAUUACAGAAGAGACGUUAAUCUCAAUUUCAUAAAGAAGAUACUAACUGUGUAAGUAGUCAUUUUCAAGGACGAGAAAUUAUUCCUGCCAGAGCUAUUUAAGUGAAUGGCCUCUAAUUCAUUUUUAAUAUCAUCAGUUUCAACUGAGGUGGCAUACCCGUCAUGAUCUAUAUAAGGGACUGCAAAUCACUGAUAGCACACCACACAUAUACAAAGAAAAUUAUAUUGAACCAUCAACGCUCAAGAAAAUCUUGCUCUCCUAAUCUUCACGAAGUUUUGGCUUAUAACCUGUGAUUCACUUUUGUUACUUACUAUUGCUAAUUCUUGCUUGUCUUAGAAGCACUUACGAUUACAUAAUCUUUUAAUCAUUGUUUGUUUAUUUCCUAAGUGACUCCUGCGGGUGCGUAGUCUGGUUGACUUGAGAGGACUAAGAGAUCUUUCUCUUAGACGUUGUUUGUAAUCUUUCAAGAUUAGUGGAUUAAGUCCUUGUUGAAGGCGAAAUCACCUCGGCCGGGUGGACUGGAGUAGCUUUGUGUUAUAAGAGAACCAGUAUAAAAUCAUUGUGUGGUUUUCAUUUUGAAAAAGCGCUUAUUUUUCCAAACAAUUCAAACCCCCCCUUUCUUGUUUUUCUCACCUUCAUACCCCUCGGUUCAAUACUACACAACUCCUGGUUCUAGGUUCUUCUCAAAGCUCGGGUACGAAGCUUAUCUUACAACAUGCAUCAAGCAUCAUAGACCACCCAAAUAGUAUCAGAAUAAAUCACAUAUAGCAUAAAUAAUACAGUAAGAUACAGAGAAGAAAUAUGGAAGAAAGAAACAAUGUUUUAAUAUUUAUAGAAAUUACACUAAAUUAGGCUUGACUCUCUCUAUAUUGGAGCAAAAAAAUCCUCAGCAGAGUCGCCAUCAGUCGCAUCUUGAAAAAUACGAUCCCUCGCGAUGGUCGUGGAAAAAUUUUAGUUCGAACAGAGUCGCCACCGAACUUUAUUUAUCCCAAUGAAGGAAUAGGAAAAUAUCGAUAAAACCUUUAGAAAAUAGAAUAAUGGUCGCUGCAGCCAUAUUCGGGUUCGGGAGUCGAUUACGCAAGGGGAAGGUAUUAGCAUCCCUCACGUCCGUUGUACUCAACGGGAACCUUUUAGUUUAAUUUAUGAUUUGAAUGUUAUCUAAUGUUGUUUAUUUUCUUUGAGUGAUAAAAAUAUUGAAAAGAGAUGGAUGGAAACCUCAUAAGGGGGAAAAGGAGGGUUUUUUUAUUAGUGUGCUCACCAAGAUAUCGCAAUCUCGUGCCUACAUAUCCUUAUGGUGCAAUAAGGAAAUCAGAGCAUUUGUAGUUCGGGGAACUACGGUUUGUUGGUGUCUUUUAAUGAACAACUGUUUAGAUCGCGUUCUAAAGGCUAAAUGUUGGCUUGUCUACUCUUCGGCGGAGGCUUAAGCACUAGUUUGUUGUGUGCGUCAGAAAGGAUUAAACAAUGUUCUUUCUGAAAAGAAUUAAGUUGUUAUUCGCAUGGGGGCGAGAAAUUUAGUUUAGUUUAUUUGGUUAUUUUUAGAAGAACGACAAAAUAUUGAGCAAUAUGGUGCACACCAAUCAUUCGAUUAUUUCGAGGAAUAACUAGGUGAACGCCUCCUAUUUCCUUUUUCGUUCAAAGGCUAUUUCCUUAAUGGUCGAAGAACUUCGAAGGCUAUUUUUGCAAAGGAACACAAAGAUGGAUUGAAUGUUGGACCGUCACUACAAAUGUUCAAUCUUGGUACAACAUGGUUCACGUCAAAACAACUCGGUUGUAGAAUCGUCUUUAAAUGCCACACUUAGGUGAAGGACCGGGAUGAAGGUCAUGGAUGCUUGAACAAGAAACGGGAAAGGGCUGUACAAAGUUUUGAUAGAUUGGAACUUGGGGCUUUGGAUCCAAAAAACUUCUUUUCUCUUUUGUAGUAUAUUUGAGUUCUAAGCUUCAAGCAUCUUUGUAUUUUCAUGAACUUGAAUCAAAACACUUGUUUUUCCUUUUGAAGAGAUGAUUUUUUGUAAUAUGUAUGCAGAUGAUGAUAAAUAUAUUGGUUAGAGUAUGAGUAAAUUCUAUAGAUGAUAAUUAUGAAAUAAAAAUGUAAAUGAAGUUGGCUUAACAAGAUUGCUACUUGUUAUGGACAUGUUGGAUUUAAAGCUGAGUAGAAGAAUCACUACACUUUCUGGACCGUAUUUCUCAUAACUUGAGCAGCACAAAUUAUUAUUCUUGUUUUUCAUUUGGAGUUGCUGCGUUUGUAGGUUGCCGUUAGAUUCACGUUUUGGCUCUUGCUUCCAGUUGACGUGCGUUGUAGCGUGUGGUCUUACAGCAGCUUGCAAUUCGCGCUGCAAUACUCUGCUUAAAGAGAUUCCUGCUGCAUUUCACCUCCUUUCUUCUUCUUCUUUUUUAACUGGUAUGGUUGCAGCAUCACCGGCAUUGUCGUUUGGUGCGUCGCAUUUGUGAGGUUGCAGUUUUGGUUUUUGGAUGUUUCAGCUGCAGCCCCAUGUCGUUUUGACUUUGUUUGCAGGUGUGUACAUAGAAGUUUUUAUUUUGCUGCUAUGUUGGCGUUUCAUGCUGCAGUUGUGGCUUUCUUCCACUUUCCAAUUGACCUUUUUUAAUUUAUCUGAUUUGGACAUGUACAUUAUUUUUUGGAUAUGUAAAAUGGACAAAGGUUAAUGGAGAAUUGGAUUAAUAAUGGUUCUAAAAAUGGAUAACUGGAUAUGGAAAUUGGAUUUAGCAAAAUGGGUUAUGAAAAUGGAUUAUGAAUAUUGGUGGAUAAUUGCAUUAUGAUGGAUAUAAAUGUACUUGAAUGUGGAUUAAUUGAAAAUUGGAUUUGAAUGGAUUGGAAUUGAAAUGGGCCCAAUAAAAAAUGUGGAAUGAGCUUAACAAAAAUGAAAUGAUUAAAUUUUCAAAACCAAUUCGACUUUUCAAGAAUCAAUUUGGAUCGUCCAACUCAACUUGAACUUCUAAAAUUAAUUCGGAAAAGAGCAAAAUGAUUUCCAAAACCAAAUUAAUUUUCAAAGAUCAAAUCUAACCUCAAAAUCAACUUAAAAUUCAAAAGUCAAUUUGAAGUUAAAAUGAAAACUAAGUUAUAAUUAAUCGGAACAAUUAAUAUGACAAGAUAACAAAAUGAUGACUGCAUAUGCAAUGGAUUGGUGAAUCCAAUUGACGCGACUUAUAAAUCAGAUCGAACCACAAUCAAAUGAAUGAACAAAUAUCGACCCAAUUAUGCACCGGAAACACCUGACCAAGAACCAAACGGCUAACCAAGAAUAGUCAUGGAUCAGGACUCAGAUGAGAUAUAAACCACAUGGACACCUGAUUAACAAAACAUGUGGCAAGUCCUGGUGAUCAAGGCAUGAUCAAGCUUGAUCAAAUGCCUCAAAACUAAGCAGUUUCCCACACCAAUGAAAUUAUCCACCAAUGUUAUAAACCAAAGGAUUGGGGUUUGAUUUCCUGAUCCUCCUAAAAUUAUGGAUGAACCAAAAUAUCUACCAGGUUCCAGCAUAAGAUCUUGAAUCCAAGUCACUUGUCUCCUUGUGUUGAACCAUGCUUAUGCAGAUGAGAUACAUGCUUAUGAUGGUAUGCAAAUGAUUAAUUUUAGUGGCCUAUAUGAUUAUGUGAAGGGUAGGGCGCAUUAAAUGAAAUUAAGGUUAGAAGGUCUCAUAAUGAAUGUUAUAUCUAAUUAGGAUUUAUGGAGCCUUGAUCCAGUAAGGACCCCCAGAUUGGGGUUUUUCUACCUUAUUGAACAUAAGUUAGGGCAAUAACAACAAAAACCCUAAUUUCCUCCUCCAGUAAGAUCUCCAUGUUUUAAGUCUGUGCAUCAUGCUUUAAGGUUAUAAACACCAAUGAAAGCUUCAAACAGCCCGGACAAAAUUGGGGUAUGACAUUAGAGAACCCAACUAAAAUAAAUGGAUUGGUAGAGUAAUUGUAUAUUGUAUUAGAGAUUCCUUAAAUUUUCACACCGUUAACGAUAAUGUUAAUAAUAGAAUUUCCUCACUUCAUUUAUACCAUAACAUUGUAAAAGAAAUUGGAAUUAAUGUCAUUUUUCUUAAACGUAAUCAUAGACAUUCUUUUCUCCAAGAUUGAAAUACUAUAAUUCUAGCACAUGAAACCUCUCAUUAGCCUCUUUAAUUUUCCCCUUCACAUUUUCUCCAAGAUUGAAUAUCAUUAUUUUUCCCGUGAUUGAUAUGUCAUUCUCUCAACAUACCCGUUCAAAUUCUUGGAUAUUUCUUCCAACAAUUAACACACAUCCCCUUGGUUGCGAAGCUUAACCAACAUUUCAAGAUGUGAAGUGGUUGAGAACCGCAACUAAUAUCGUCAACACUUAAAAUGAUCGGGAAAUAAUAUGAAAUCCCUUUAACUAGAUCCAAAUGAAUAGAAUUAGGUCAUACAUUACACCACUCAACUGAUAACAAAAUCCUAUCAAAUAUGCUCAUAGAGGACGAUUAGUCAAUUCAGCACUAUCAACGAACAAAUUAAAUUCAUACAUAUCUUCCCAUCUUACAAAUUAUCUCCUUCCACACACAUAAAUUUUAACCUCUUUAAAUAUUGAUAAAUUUUCCUAGUUGAUUAUAAAAAACAUAUUUUCCUCACCUAUCUGUAGCGGUAAAUUCAUCAUCAUCAAGCUAUGGAUAAGCAAGACAUCAAUAAAACCAGAGUCGCCACCGCGCUUUUAUUGUUUCCAAGGGAAAAGGGAAAAGUACGAACAAAACCCAAAAAUAAGAAGUUUUCAAAUCAAAACUAAUAAAAUUCCAGAGAUCCGCGCUUUUAUUGUUUCCAAGGGAAAAGGGAAAAGUACGAACAAAACCCAAAAAUAAGAAGUUUUCAAAUCAAAACUAAUAAAAUUCCAGAGAUUACAGGUAAGGGGGUUGGUUACACAGAGGGAAUGUGUUAGCACCCAAAGUGUCUUAGGUACUCCUAGGGAGCCCUUUAUUGUGUGCAUAUGUAUUUUGUACAAAAUGAUGUUUAAAAACAAAUAGAAUGGGGGGAUGAGAAAAGAAUUCAUUAAUUAUAUUUUUGUGUUUGAAAAGACCUUCGUACUUAUGCCUACGUACCAACAUAAAAUGAGGGAUCAAAACCUCGUAGUUCGUGGUAUAAAUUUCAAAGUGGAUGCAUUGCUUUUAACAAAAUUAAGUUUGAAAGACACAAAGGUCUAAAAAUGGUCUGAAUGAGUUAGUUCUUUUUGGACUUUUUUUUAAACUUUAAGUCAAGUAUGAUUAAGUUUAUUUACAAAUUUGAUUAAGAAAAGAAGUUUAAAAAUGCAAUGGCAUAAGGCCAAAGUUUCUAGUUUGCAAUAUAGUCUAAGUUUAGAAAAAACAGACACAAGCAAAGAAGUUUUUAAAAGGAGGAAGAGAUUUUGAAAUUAAAGAAGUGGGGAAGAGAUGAAGAGACUAAUCCUAAGCACAAAUUUAAAAGUUGAGAGUUGAAAAGAUCUGACCAAUGGGUUGCAAUCCAAUAGACAAGAAUGUCAUAUAGAUAAAUUAAAGAAGUGGGGAAGAGAUGAAGAGACUAAUCCUAAGCACAAAUUUAAAAGUUGAGAGUUGAAAAGAUCUGACCAAUGGGUUGCAAUCCAAUAGACAAGAAUGUCAUAUAGAAACCCAAAUUCCCUUGGACAUUAGGAUCAAGCAACAAACAAUGCAUAAUAUACAUAUCAACUUUAAGAACAAGGCAUCAAAUAAAGAUAGUCACAUCCAAGCUUAGCAACUCCAUGAUCUUCUUCAAAUUUGCCCAUGUAGCAGAUGAAUUUCACAAGUCACAGGUUCAAAAUAACAACUUCAUAAUGAUCAUGUUUCAGAUGAACUCAAAUAGAUCUUCAAUGAUGUAUCAGAUGAAGUUUCAAAUUGCACGCACUUGGUUACAUGAAAGUUGGCAUUGGCCAAGUCCUUUGCAUAGGGAAUGUUACCUAAGUUUUAAUUCCAAUUGUCUCAGAUCAAACCAACAGUCCGCACAAGAUAUUUUUUAUGGUUUUUGUUCUUACUAUGUACAUUAAUGGUCAAAGACCACACAAGCAAACAAAAUAUACACAAACAAGAUAUGUCACACAAUAUGGUCCAAAUGGACAAAAUGAAAAUGGCAUUAACAUAAACAAUUAGAAUGGUUUGAAUAAUGGCAAAUGAAUAAAGUUUAAAAAUAAAGUACAUUAAAGUAAAUGACUUGGAAUUAAAUGUUAGUUGUUAAUAAGUUAGAAGUUAGUAUUUCUUUUGCUUUUGCUUUUUAUUUUAAGUCAUUCUUUGGAGAACACUCAAUCCACUUAUCACAAGUAUGGAUCCUUGAAUCAAGACAUCUUCCAAGAGAAGGAAAGAAGGCCAAGUUUCCACACAAUACCAUGAAAGAGGGGAGAUUUACAAUCUCACUAACUAGGAUGUUAUGCCUUUUGUGUCAAAAAUUUAGCGUUAUGUUAAGAAAUCGUAAUUAGACUUAUGUAGAAGUCACAACUAUUUGAGGUCGGACAAUAGAAUUUUGGUGUUAAUGCAUGUUAGAGACAUAGUAUAAUGGGCUAUGCUCAUGAAACAUACCACACACAAAAGAAUAUACAAAAAGUGGUGGCCUAAUCUCAUCCGUGCUUAUGUUGAUUAUGCAAUCAACUAGCCUUGGUGAAAUUCUGAUAUCAGAUAUGAGAUGUCGAAGGUAAUGUCACGACACUAAUAUCUGAGUAAAACAAGCAGGAUAAAGAUAAAGAAUAGUAAUGCAAGAGACACAAGCAAUUGUUAACCUAGUUCGGUGCAACUCACCUACGUCUGGGGGCUACAAAGCCAGGAAGGAAAUCCACUAAAUAGAAUCAAUUCAAAGACUCUCAGUACACUUCAAUAAGUUACAGUCUUACUCACCUAAUCUCUACCCGUGUGAUUUCUACCUAAGCACUCUUAGAUAUGAGAACCCACUCAUUCCCCCUCAAUCACACCUGUGAUUUUAAACAACAAUUCCUUAUGAAAAGAAGACACUCUUCAAUAACACACACUUGAUCUUACUUAGCAGUUUCAAUCAAGUAGACACACACUUGAUCUUACUUAACAGCUUCAAUCAAGUAGAUACACACUUGAUCUUGCUUAACAGCUUCAAACAAGUAGACACACACUCUUGCUUGCAAGCUUAGAGUGACAAAUUACAACUCACAAAUCAGACCAAUUCAAUCAUCUAUGGAUGAAUUGAAUGGCUUACAAGUCUCACGACUAGACAAGACACAAAACCUUAUAGUCUCUCAAUAUUUCGCUCAGUAUUGGUUGUGUAUCAAAUCAGGUUUUCCAUGUCCUGUUUAUAGAAGCAUUCAGCUGGGCUUGGACAUCUUGAAAACCCUUAAACUAUUUUCCAAUUAAAUCUUCUCAUGACAGUUGGAUAGAUCUCCUUGGAAAAUAAGUAAAUCAGGUUGUAAUUAAUGAUUGAAUGCGCCUGCAAAUCAGAUCUUCAAUCAUACAUAGAUUGUCAUUAAAUGCGCAAUCACAAAACACAUAACAUUCACCCUGAAUGUUCUGUGUACAGGAUGUCAUGACAUCGUGUCUGACAUCCUGGAAGAAUCCUGCAUAAUUCCAUUUAUGAUUUCCAGCAGGUACAUAAUAUAAGAUGCCAUGACAUUGUGUAUGACAUCCUGAAACAAUCCUGCAUAAUUAUAUUUUCAAACUCCAGCAGGUACAUAGAUAUCUUAUGUUAAGACAUCGCAUGCAACAUCUUGUGAACACUCUUUGUUUUACCAAAAUUGUUGUCAACACUUAGAACCAACAAACUCCCCCUUUGGCAAAUUUUGGCUAAAACAUAUAUUUGUCCUUUUUGUUCACAAGAAAAACUAUCAGCAGUUAAAUAACAGUUUAAGCAGCAGCAGAAGCAAACAGAAUUACUAGUUAUAGAAGCAACUAGUAAAACACACAAAUGCACAAGGGUACUUCUUCUCCCCCUAAGUCUGUGCAACACAGACAUCUCCUUUAACAACAACAACAUCUGUAAUAACCAGAGUCACCCUCUGACAUCUGCUUCAACAUCACAUGUGCACCACAUCAGACAUCUCCUCCAACAUCUGUAAAUAGAACAUCAUUUUGUCUUACACCAAACACAUCUCCUUCAAAAAUAGUUGUUCAUCUGUUCACUACACCAGCACAUACAUCUCCACACAGCUCCACAUAUUUAACUGCUCCACAUAAUCACUUCUCCCCCUUUUUAGUCAAAAUUGACCAAAGGUGACCAAUUAGACAAAAUAAAUGUCAAUUAGCCUAGCAGAGAAUGUCACAGCAGAUGUUAUAACAUUUAAAAUGUUAAAACAUAAUUGUUAUUGACCAAAGGUGACCAAUUAGACAAAAUAAAUGUCAAUUAGCCUAGCAGAGAAUGUCACAGCAGAUGUUAUAACAUUUAAAAUGUUAAAACAUAAUUGUUAGGAGAUACAAACCAUAAUUAUACACAGCUGUAAUAGCUGAGAUAAUUAGAAAUUCAUGGAACUCAUCAAGAGCCCAAAUAUUACAACAAGGCAUCAGUAAGGACUGCCACAAAUUACAAACAUUCCAAAAAAACAAUAAACCAUCCAAGCUUCCAAAGCAGCCAAAACAACAGGGGGACCAGUCUUCAUAACAGGGCACAGAACAGCCAAACUAACCCAAUCUUCAUCACAGCACACACAGUCUUCAUAUCAGGGGGAACUAUUACCACUUAAUCUGAGGAAUUAGCAUCAUUUUCACCUUCAGAAUCACAGCUGCCACUAGAUUGAGCAUUGGACCUCUCACUUGAGGUAUUGGCAUCUGAAUCCUUGGUCUCACCAGCCUUCCCCAUCUCUUCCUUCUCUAAGCUACUAAUAAGAACCUCCAAAGCCUCUUUAUUUUCCUUGGCAACCCUAAUACCAGUAUCCAGCUCCUUACAAGUUUCCUUUAAUUGAUCAAUCAAGCUACCUUGAGAGGCAGGCUCCUUCCUUGCAGAUGUCAUGACAACAUCAUUGGCAUGGCUUCCUUCAAAUAACUUGUAGUGAAUGGAUAGUGGAGGCUUUCUUCUGCUGGGAAUAUCACUUGUAUUGAGAAUGCCUGGUUUCUGGCUCAAGAUAAUUCCACAAAUGAUAGAUGGAAAGGCAAUGGGCAGCUUUACUGCAUUAGUGGAGGCAUGUCUGGCAAUUUGAUCAAACAUAAACCUUCCAAAGUCAAAGUUUAUCCUGGUUCCAAUAGCAUAAAUGAUUCUUCCAAGACCAAUAGAGAUGGUUGAGAUAUGAUUAGUUGUCACCCAGUUGGCUGAACCAAUCUUAUGCAAGAUGACAUAUUUGACAGUUAGCUUGCCUGCUGAUAAAUGCUUCUUACUAGGCCACUCCUUAACUUGGCCAGCAGUAAUAGUCCUACAGACUUCAUUGUCUAUAGCCUCUAACUCCACACCUCCUUCAGUUCCUCUCCCUAGGAACUUGUUGAUUAUGGUUGGGGAGAACCUCACACAUUUGCCUCUUACAAAGACCUUGCAGAAUUCCUUGCUACUCUUUUCAGAAAUAUCCUCUGGGAUAUUCACAACAAACUCCUUCACUAACCCCUCAAAACAUUGGGGCAAAGCAACAAAAGUUUUCAUAAGUCCAACAUUCUUGAUCAAAUCCAUCACUUCCUUCACUUCUACAGCCUCCUUUCCCAACUCCCUUUCAACAGCAACCCUCCUUUGGAUGACAAACUUCCACUUGGCAGCACCAUCUUCUAGAUGGAAAGAGAUGUUAUCUAAGUGCACAGCUGCAACUUUGCCUGGAGACUUCUUGACAGUCUGUCUUUUAGCAGGAGAGAUGUCUGGGACAUCGUCUUCGACAUCAUCAUUAGAUUCAGAACUCUCUCUGACCUUCCUCUUCUUAACCUCAACUUUACUCCAAGAUUUGGAGGGUCCUACACCAACAGUCUUCUUCCUAGUUCUGGCUGUCAUCAUUUCAGCCACAGUCUUCCCUUUUCUGGUCUUCAAUUUCCUAGCAGCACUUGGUUUUACAUGAUGAACCAAGGUGUCCUCUUCUUCUUCUGAACUCUCUUCCUCCAGAUUAAUAACAUUCUCAGCAGUCUCAUGAGAAGCAUCUGUUGGUUUCUUACUAGGCAAGGUUUUACCUAGAGAGCAUAAUCCCUUAGCAGCCCCUUCUUUCUCUGAUCUAGAUGAUUUCUUACUAGGCAAGGUUUUACCUAGAGAGCAUAAUCCCUUAGCAGCCCCUUCUUUCUCUGAUCUAGAUGAAUCAUCAUCUUUCUCAGUUUGGGGUUCCACCUCAGGAGAGGGGUCCCUUCUAGACAUAGGGGUAGAAACACCCUUGACUACAUGCCCUUCGUUUAGAAUCCUAGUUACUAGGUUCCUAAUGGUAUGAUAUGUAAAGUCAUGUCAUCUUUAUGAGGAGAUUUUUCAGGAAUGUUACCUUGAUUACUUCCAGUUGUGGAAGAAGGGCCAGGAACGUCGCCUGGAAUAACAGAGAGGGGAAUAACCUCCAGAAUAUCUUCAUCCAGAAACUCCAUGGAGGGAGUCCUUCCUUUGUGAGUGGGUUUUGAUCCUGAUGAUGAGGGAUGUUGUGACAUUUUAUUGGACUUUUGAAAGAAAUCUCUUUGCCCUAGCAGAGGUUUUCUGAGAAGUUGGAUGAAGAUGGAAAUGGUAGUGUUGAGGUAGCGUGUAGAAAUGGCAUAGAUACUAGUUCCAAUACUAGGUAAUGAUUUAUCAUUAAUGUGGCUCUUUCUUUUAAGUGGGCAGAUAAUAUUUUUAUUACCUUUUCCACUCCACUUUAAUUGCUAUAACUUCACAAGAAUCCAAAUCCCCAAUUUCCCUUUUAAAUAUUCAAACUGAUUAUCAUCCAAAAUCCUUGCAAAUUUGUCAGCUAAUUGCAUUUCAUGCUUUAGAGCUAUGAAUUUGUCUUCCACAAAUUCUCUAAUGGAGUGAUGACAAAAAUCAAUGUGCUUGGUCCAACUGUGUUGGCUAGGAUUUUUGGACAUAGUUGUAGCACUCGGGUUGUCAUAGUACAAUGUCAUGACAUCGUAUGUGACAUUGUAUUCAGUCAACAGUAGUUUCAACCAACCCUGUUGAGAACAGCUACUACCAGCUGCUAUAUAUUCAGCACAAACACCAUUUUCAUCUUUCAACUGUGUAGGAUAAGGUGUCCUUUCACUCUCCAUCCCAAUCUUCUUAACAUUGUUCUUGGCAUUUUUGCUUUGAGAUAGACACAUAGACCCUUCUAUCUGCUUGACUUGUAGCCCAAGUCCAACAACGCUCUUUCCAACUUCAGACUGCAUAUGACUAGCAAAAUUUUCAACCAUCUGAUCCAACCUCCUAUCUAUUUUAGCCAUCAUGAGCUUUUCUCCUUUGGAAGGGAUGUUAAGUCUGAGUUUCUGGUGUGACAUCCUUGUCUGACAUUUCCCACAGACUUGUCUUUCAUCAAUCUUGGGAGUUCCUCUAGCAGAUAUAAUCAUCUUCAUUUCUUUGACUAAGGUACACUUUGAGGAAUAUCCAAUUUGAGAGCUCCACAUGUAACAGUUGUCUUUGGUCCUGACUCCUUUCAUGAUCACUUCACUUUCUUUUUUAGUGAUCAGACAUUCAGUUUUAGUGAAGUUAACAUUUAGACCUUGGUCACAUAGUUGACUGAUGCUUAUUAGAUUUGCAGUCAAGCCCUUAACAAGUAGGACCUUGUCAAGUUCAGGAACUCCAAGGCACUCAAGCUUACCUAUCCCCUUGAUUUCACCCUUUGAUCCAUCACCAAAGGUUACAUAGCUUAUGGCAUGAGGAUGAAGGCCAGUUAGUAGGUCUUUGUUUCUAGUCAUGUGUCUGGAGCACCCACUGUCAAAGUACCAAUCUUCUUUGGCUGAAACUCUGAAGGGAGUGUGAGCUAUUAGACUUGUAACAUUAGUCUUAGGAACCCAUGGCUUCUUGUUGACAGAUCUGUGAUGUUUGGGUCUUGGUUGAUAGUGAGUUUGAUGAUGAACAGGGCUAGGAUAACCAUACAGCUUAUAGCAGAAGGGCUUUAGGUGGCCAAAUUUCCCACAAUAAUGGCAUCUCCAUCUUUGGUGUUUCCCUUUCUACUGUCUUCCCUUCUGAUGUUGUGACAUAUGAUGUGACAUCUCAGGUUUGCUUUUAAUAUGGCUGCACUUAGGUUUGGAUUUAGGUUUACAACCAGUGUAACUGCACUCAGGCUUAUAUUCAUUAUACCCAAUGCCAGAUUUGUCUCCUGUUAUUUGUCCAGUUUGGAGAAUCUUGUCCAAGGAGUCAGAUCCAUUGUUUAACAUUCUUACAUACUUGGUCAUCUCUUCUAGUUUAGAGUUCAAGAACAUAGCUUCAGUUUUUAACUUGGAGAUGGUUUCCACAUGUUUUUCCUUCUCAUUCUCCAGCUGUACUAUCACUUUCUUCUGGCUUUCAACUUGUUGACUUUCAUCUAGCUUGGCAUUCAGAACCACUGCUUCUGUUUUUAAUUUGGAGAUGGUUUCCAAGUGUUCUACCUUUUCCAGCUGUACUAUCACUUUCUUCUGGCUUUCAACUUGUUGACUUUCAUCUAGCUUGGCAUUCAGAACCACUGCUUCUGUUUUUAAUUUGGAGAUGGUUUCCAAGUGUUCUACCUUCUCAUUCUCAAAUUGAGUUAUUACCUUCUUCUGGCUUUCAACAUGUUUACACACCUCUGCACUUUUGUGACACAACUUUCUGUAGGUAGUGGCCAACUCUUCAAAGGUUACUUCAUCAUUACUUAAGUCUUCAUCAGAACCCCAUCUUCCAGUCAAGGCAGUCACUAGAUUUGCAGAUUCUUCUGUUUCACUCUCAUCAGACCAAGUGGUAGCAAGACUCAUCUUCUGCUUCUUGAGGUAGGUCCCACAUUCAGUUCUAAUGUGUCCAUACCCAUCACAUUCAUAGCACUGUACUUAUUUUCCUUCUUUGGGCUUAUCAUCUGACCUUGUUCUUCUUCUAGCAUUGUUGGAUUUACUGAUGUCAGAUGAGAUGUUCUUGACAUUAGCCUUAGAUCUUACAUCCAUCUUUUUCAACAGUCUGUUGAACUGUCUUCCCAGCAUUGCUACAUCUUUGUUCUUCUUCUAGCAUUGUUGGAUUUACUGAUGUCAGAUGAGAUGUUCUUGACAUUAGCCUUAGAUCUUACAUCCAUCUUUUUCAACAGUCUGUUGAACUGUCUUCCCAGCAUUGCUACAUCAUUGGCCAGAUCUUCAUCAACAUCCUGACUAUUUUCCUCCUCUGUGUUUGACAUGAAGGCCAUGCUUUUAGUUUUCUUUUCAGAACCAUCAUUCAUUCCCAUCUCAAAUGUUUGGAGGGAACCAAUUAUCUCAUCAACUCUCAUAUUGGAGAUGUCUUGAGACUCUUCUAUGGCUGUCACAUUCAUAGCAAAUCUCUUAGGGAGUGACCUGGGUAUUUUUCUUACUAAUUUUUCAUCUGACAUCUUCUCUCCCAGGGCUCCUGAGGCAUUAGCAAUUUCAAGAAUACUCAUAUGAAAUUCAUGAGUAUUUUCAUCUUCUUUCAUCCUUAAAUUUUCAAACUUGGAGGUGAGCAGCUGUAGUAUAGACAUUUUAACUCUAGAGGUGCCUUCAUGAGUAGUUUUGAGAAUGUCCCAAGCAUCUUUAGCCACCUCAUAGUUGUUUACCAACCUAAAGAUAUUCUUGUCUACUCCAUUGAAUAUGGCAUUCAAUGCUUUAGAAUUUCCAAGGGCUAGAUCAUCCUCCUCCUUGGACCAUUGUUCUUCAGGCUUCUUGUCAGUUGUUUCCUUAGUAAUUACUGGAUGUACCCAGCUUGUUAACACAGCCUUCCAAGCCUUAUUAUCCAGAGAUUUUAAGAAAGCUACCAUUCGAGGUUUCCAAUAGUCAUAGUUAGAUCCAUCCAAAAUUGGUGUCCUGUGAACAGAUCCUCCAUCUCUCUCCAUUGUACCAGAAAGUAUUGUCCGUAGAUCUCACCCAGAACGAUAGCAGGAUGCCUGCUCUGAUACCAAUUGAAAUUCUGGUAUCAGAUAUGAUAUGUCGAAGGUAAUGUCACGACACUAAUAUUUGAGUAAAACAAGCAGGAUAAAGAUAAAGAAUAGUAAUGCAAGAGACACAAGCAAUUGUUAACCCAGUUCGGUGCAACUCACCUACGUUUGGGGGCUACCAAGCCAGGAAGAAAAUCCACUAAAUAGAAUCAGUUCAAAGACUCUCAGUACACUUCAACAAGUUACAGUCUUUCUCACCUAAUCUCUACCCGUGUGAUUUCUACCUAAGCACUCUUAGAUAUGAGAACCCACUCACUCCCCCUCAAUCACACCUGUGAUUUUAAACAAUAAUUCCUUAUGAAAAGAAGACACUCUUCAAUAACACACACUUGAUCUUACUUAGCAGUUUCAAUCAAGUAGACACACACUUGAUCUUGCUUAACAGCUUCAUUCAAGUAGACACACACUUGAUCUUGCUUAACAGCUUCAAUCAAGUAGACACACACUCUUGCUUACAACCUUAGAGGGAGAAAUUACAACUCACAAAUCAAACCAAUUCAAUUAUCUAUGGAUGAAUUGAAUGGCUUACAAGUCUCACGAAUAAAAAAGACACAAACCCUUAUAUUCUCUCAAUAUUUCGCUCAGUAUUGGUUGUGUAUCAAAUCAGGUUUUCCAUGUCCUAUUUAUAGAAGCAUUCAGUUGGGCUUAGAUAUCUUGAAAACCCUAAAACUAUUUUCCAAUUAAAUCUUCUCAUAACAGUUGGUUAGAUCUCCUUAGAAAAUAAGUAAAUCAGGUUGUAAUUAAUGAUUGAAUGUGCCUGCAAAUCAGAUCUUCAAUCAUACAUAGAUUUCCAUUAAAUGCGCAAUCACAAAACACAUAACAUUCACCCUGAAUGUUCUGUGUACAGGAUAUCAUGACAUCGGGUCUGACAUCCUGGAACAAUCCUGCAUAAUUCCAUUUAUAAUUUCCAGCAGGUACAUAAUAUCAGAUGCCAUGACAUUGUGUAUGACAUCCUGAAACAAUCCUGCAUAAUUAUAUUGUCUGACAUCCUGGAACAAUCCUGCAUAAUUCCAUUUAUAAUUUCCAGCAGGUACAUAAUAUCAGAUGCCAUGACAUUGUGUAUGACAUCCUGAAACAAUCCUGCAUAAUUAUAUUUUCAAACUCCAACAGGUACAUAGAUAUCUUAUGUUAAGACAUCGCAUGCAACAUCUUGUGAACACUCUUUGUUUUACCAAAAUUGCUGCCAACACUUAGAACCAAUACUUAGGAUAUAGAGAUAUCAUAGGUUAAUGAAAUGGAUGCAUAAAGAAGGCAAAUGAGAUGAAGAGGGAGGGGAGAUGGAUCAAACUCAAAUUGGACAAAGGAGGACAUUUAUCAAAUUAAUAUCAUUGAUUCAUUUUGAGAGAUGGAAUGUACAUUCCAUCAAUCCCUUAAAUCCAAUGAUCUUAACCUAGCAAAGUCAAAUCAACCUUGACCAAGGCCCAACAACACAAGUCAAACUUACAAAGACCAUCAAAAUGGCUCAACACAAUUAUUUGGCAUUUAUUCAAUUUAAAAAUACUAAAAACUAAUGCAUUAUAUUAAAUAUGGUUUGUCAAAAUCCUAAAACCUCAUCAAAACACCAAAGAAUGAGCAUGAGAUUUAUCAUAGGUCAAACAAGGUCAAAGGACCUUGGAGAAAAAAAUUCAGAAUUUUUGGAAACUUAAAGUGUUUUUAAACAAUUAAAACUAAUCACAAAAUCAAUUAAAUCAUGAAAAAUAUUAAUAAUGAUCCAAAAAAUAAUUUUAAUUCAGAAUAUAAAAGAGGAUUUUAUUUAAAAAAUAAUUGGUGAAACUCUCAUAUUUUUUGGAUCAAUGUUAAAAUUAAUAUGAAUUAAUGAAAAUCAACGGAAUAAAAUGAAAAUCAUAAAAUACAAAAAGACGUGGACCACUUGAUCUCCCUCAUUAAUUGAGGUGGCAGAUCAAGUGGCCACAAGUGGGCUUUCUACCAUAGUCACUAGUCAACGCGUAACACAAGUGGUAAUUACAAGUAACGCAUGAGAUUAAAACAAUUUGAAUUGAUCAUGUGACUCUGAACCAUGCCAACACAUCAUCGGCGCUAAACCUCCGGUCACCUUCUUAGGCGAACCUCGUCGGACUGGUUCAGUCAUCACCAUCACAUAAAUGAAAAAGGAGGACAUGAUCUGAAAGAAAAAAUGGCGUAGAGCACGAAUCUGACCUCAAUUUUAACUAACUCCAAAUAUAUUGAAAGAUAUGAGGAGUUGAAUUUUGAGGUGUGUCAACUGAGUUGCUUCGAUUUGACCUCAAAGCAACUCAAUCUUCUUGCCUACAUUGGUAGGACUUCAGACAACCAAAGAUCCAAGAGAAUUGAUGUAGAAUUGAGUGAGAAUCCAAGAGAAGAAAAAUUCUGGAAAAUACCUUCAAUGUUGUGCUGAACUUGCUCUUGCUUGCUUCAAUUCUUGUUUGAUCUUGCUCCAAUUCCUUGUAGAAGUGGAUUAGGAAUGGAAAGAAGCUUUGGAUCCUGGAGUUUUUGAAUCUCCAAACAGUGAGAUUCAAACUCAAUUUUCAAGUGAAAAUUAUCAGGUUUUCCUUUGAAUUAUGAGGGUUUGAAGAGAGGGGGCAAAGUUGGCGCGCAAAGGUCCUCUCAAAUGAGCUCAGAGGGCAUAUAUUUAUAGCAUUUGGAAGUGUUAAUUGCACACUUCAAGUUUCUUCCAAAUUUGGCAAUGUCAUGCACAAGCUUGCAUGGGCGUGUACAGGGCCAUGAAGCAACCCAAUUGGGUCCAAAUGCAUCUGAAAUGAGAUUGAAAUAAAGCUUGAAUGGCAAGGCAAUGUAAUAUGACCAUUUGAACAUUUGAUUUUUCCACUUGAUGCAGGACUGUUAAAACCAUGUGCAACCCUAGCAAACCUUGUCCAAAUUAAUGAAAUAGGACUCUUUGGAAAGCUUAGAUCAAGAGGAACAAUUUUUAUGUUGAACACCUUUCCAUUUGGAACUUGGAUCAAGGUUAAUUUUGAGGUGGAAGUUUGGAAAUUUCAACAUGUUGAAAAAUUUUCUAAGUGUCAAGUCAUAUACUUCAAUAUUCCGCCUUGCUUAACUUUUCAUGUGAUCUCCAUAUGAGAAAAGUGUCUUCAUAAAAGUUGUAGAUAUUUCAAAGACCUUCAAAAUGGUCACAAAUUUCACAUCAUUUGGAUUUAUAAUGAUAGAGUAAUUCAUUUUUGAAGUUGAGGAAAAUCACUUGUUCAAUGGUAUUGGUCCAAAAUGACCUAUAAUGUAUCCUCAUAUCACAUGCUCAUAAAAGUUGAUUUAGAUUUCACUCCAAACAUAAAAGUUAAAGUAGACCUCUUGAAUUUCAUUGUGCAACUUGGAAAUAUUUUCAUCUCAUAAAAAUUGAGCAAGUUAUGGCCUUGUGAAGUUGACUUUCAAAUUAAGGUUUAGACAAAAUGACCUAUAAUGUUUCAACAUAGAAAAUGAUUUUCCAAGCAAAAAUAGCUCUAGGUCUCAACAUGAAAGUUUGUUGGAAUGUUAUUUAGAGUAACUUUUCUCUUGAAAUCAUUUUUCAUAUGGUGAAAAUUGUAGGAGAUAGGGUCUAAGGAGACCUAGUUUUGAUCAGAUGAAUUCAUCUGGCCAACCACCAUCAACUAACUUGCUAACUUUCAAUUAUCUUGACUUUUUAGGCUCAUGGUAGAUCAUAUAUGCAUAAUAUGAUGAAUUUUGAAGUGUCCCUUGAGAAAUUUGAUCAAUUGGUGAGGAAACUUGUUGAAGAAGUUACUCAGGAUACCCAGACAAACUAGGGUUUCCAAUGCCAACCAACUCCAAACUCUUGAAGAAUACUUGAUCAAUAUAACAUGUAGAGAUCAUUGGGACUCAUAUAUGAUGCUUAGAGACAUUGUGGAUUAAUCCUUGGUUGUGGUGUUAGCCAUGAGGGCCUUAAACCCUAGAUAUGAACUUGAUAGAUCAAUGGGAAUCAUGCCUUACCUACAAAAGAGUUAGGCAAAUACAAAGACAUGUUUUUUGGUAUUUUGGAUAGUAAAAAGAUAAUAUAAAAGUAUGAUACAAUCACAUAGUGCUUGGUGAUCUCUCCCAAAACAAACCCAAUGAGAGAGGGGUAAGGAGGAUGCCAAGGUGUGAUCUCAAUGCCAAUGCAUAUGAUGAGAUAGCAUGAGGGAUCUUAGGGUCAAAAUUGGGGUCUUACACUAUCACAAGGAACAUAAAUAUUAGUCAUGCUAGAACCUAUUAUAUUCCUAGAGAAAAUCUCAUUAUUGCUAAACGUGUGGUUAAAACUCGAAGAAAACACCACACUCGAAAAGAGUAUCACACAUAUUUAGGAUACAACCCUAAAACCUUGGGAUGGAAAAAUGGGCCAUGGCCCGCCAGGACAGCCCGGGUACCCAUCCAAAAAUUGGCAGGUUAGGUUGGGAUUUUGUGUCCGCCUAUCCACUCAGUUCGUCCUGCUUUAAGCCCGCCCUGCCUUAAGCCAGCCAAAAAAAAGGGGUAGGUUGGCCCGCCAACCUAGUUAUCUGUCGUACCCAAAGUUUUCCCUCCCCUUUUCCACUUUUUCACUCAACGUGUGAAUUAAGAUUCAUUUAUUUCAUUCAUGCUUCAUAUGCAUCAUGCAUUCAUGUUAACGCAAGCAUCAACAGAUUCAAAACAUUGAUGGUUAUUUCAAAUUAAGGCUUUGCUUGAGUAUUGAAGUGUGGCUUAUCAUAUGAGUAGAAACCCUAAUUCCAUGCCUUUUGGGGUCUUGAUUUACGGAGUUCACAUCAUGACUUUCAUUCCUAACCCUAAUUCUUAACUAUGCUCCUUUGGGAUCUUGUACUAGACCUUCUGUGCAUUGACUUGGCAUUUGAACCCUAAUUGUGGGCCCAUGGUUUGAGAUGUUACUUGUGGAGCUUUGUGCUCUGUUUAAAACCCUAAUCCUUGGGAUUAAACAUGGAUUGUAUCGUAUAUGUGUGCUUGUUGAUCCAUUUGGUUCAAGGCCUCAUGCUAUUUAUGUUGAUUCAUCGCAUAUUACUUCAAAAUACAUAGCCAUGACCUUUUCAAUCUAUUCUGAAGUCACGUAUUACUUCAAACCAAUCAUUAAAUCCUCUUCAAUUUCUAACCAUGUGAAAACACAAUCCAAUCCCAAAUAUUUUCAAGUCACAACUACAUGUGUGAUUCCAUUACAACAAAUUACACAAGUUCCAUUUAAAAGUCCUUAGAAAUCUCAAUUACAAUUCAACCACCAAUCUACAAUAUCCAACCAAAUUUCAACUACAAUUAAGUCAUACAAAGCCAAUUCACAUUUCAACUAUAAAAAGUUACAAAUUCAGCCUAAAUACAAAUACAUUAACUCCAUUCUAUACAUCAUAUUCCAUACAUGAUAAAAGUUUAGCAUCUAACCACCUGCGAUUUCCACCAAGCCAACAAUCAUUUGCUAUAUGACAAAAAACAUGGACCAAGAUCCUGAGUCAAUAUUUCAUUAAAGUUAUGUCUAUCACCCAAAGAACAUGUUCAUUUCAGGAUGGUAUAGUAGUCGGAACGCUUUCUCAUGCGGAUGAUUUUGAUAUAAAUUAGUGGCAUUGUAACUCAUGAUUCUUUGGAGGUCAUUGGACAACGUUUCCCUCUAAUGAUAUCAGUAUUUGCUCAGUAUGCAAGUAUUAUUUCUUAAGGAUGCUUGCUAACAUUGGUAGUAGACAACAUGGUAUUGCAAUGCAGAUCGGUUGAAACUCGAUUGCUGACACUGUUCGGAGAGAAGCUUCACCCCCUCAUUCCUACAAACAUCAAUAUGUACAAAAUUGAAUUAAAUUAAUCAAGUUGAUAUUUGGAGAUACCGAGGAUGAGAGCCUACCAGCGCAAAGUAUUUUCAUCCAUAGAUCAAAUAGAAUAUCUUAUUGCAAGCAUGACCGACGUACAGAAUUGAGUCAGGAGUCUUGAGAUAGUCGUGAGAUGCUUGUUUACAAUAAUGAUCCCAAGGUAAAAUUGAAGAUGGUGUCAAAGUACCAGAAAAACAUGUGACAUCCAAGUCCGUCGAUGGAGCUCCAGCUUUCAAUCUAAGACAUUGCAGAAGGACACUGCCUCAGAAUAAGAACAUAGGAAGUCUGCAAGUACAUGAGUUGUGAAAAAUGGGGUCAAUUAGUAUGAAUAUAGUAGGAUACUAAACUUGAUUAAUUUAGGAAGUAAUGUCAACUCAGCUCCAAAAAUUUGAAGGUGACAUUACUCUUAGUAAAACCUGAGAUACAAUAUGUCGCCAUGUGAAAUGCCAAUCUUAUGGUACAAAGAAGACCGGAAAUUCAUGAAAUAAAGAAGUCCUUAUGUAAAUGAAAUAUAACAAUAGCAUCUCUCAAUCCAACACAUACGAGUCUAUGACUGCAACUCGUCGACACCUUGGAUAAGCCCGAAGCCAAGGCAUCAAUGAUCUGGGUAGUUGGCGAAUAUGUGGAAAAAAUAUGUCUCCUGAAGAAACAAAAGAUAAGCAUAAUAAGUUUGAUAAGCUUCACAAAUAGGUCUGGUUUGAUUAAAAACAAUUCACAACAACAACUUGACAACUGCACAAUUGACUAAUUCACCAACAAACUAACAACAUUUAACAUUUCAAGUUAACUGCAGAAUUUGAGUUUCAUCUAACUGCAUAUCUAACUGAAAUAAAAUUUCACUUCUAACUAACCUAUAACAAACUCCAACUAAAUUUUUAAUUUGUAACUAACUGUUAAAUUUAGGGUGAGUUUCAUUUGGAUCUCUAACAGAAUUGGGGGAGGGAAAGCUUAUAAAUGGUACUCACCUAUUUCUGCAAUGAAGUUUCCUUCUACAACUGGCUUUUCAUGUUGCAACUGAGUUCCUUCAUCAUCAUCAAUUAUGCAACUCGGUUCCUUCAUCAUCAUCGAUUCUGUAACCAAAACUCAAACAACAAUAAGGUGAAGUGAAGUAGAGGGGAGCAGGGAAAUGCGAAGAGGAAGACACAUACCAAUUCAAAUGCAACGUAGACAACAGUAUCAAGCCAACGUAACAACGACACACAGAAGCACAAGUGAAAAGGAAAGAAGAAGAAGAUGUUAGAACAAGAUUUGAUUUUGCAUCUAUACCUUGAGUUUUUAUGAUAACAAUUUUUAUUUGUGUGAGAACAAUUUUGGUAAUCUAAUGGUUUGUUAUUGUGAAGCUUUAGCCAACAGUUCUGAUUCUGAUCACAUGAUGUGCAACAUCAUCAAUUUCUGAACUAUGUGUUCCAAAUUCACUUCUUCGUUGCAAUUAGAAGUUCUUAAAGACGUCAAUAUUGUUGUUGCAAUGUUCUUUCUGCUUCUGUGUUAUCUCACCCGUCAUAAGCUUCUAAGGAGACUUUGUAUUGUUGUUGCAAUGUUCUCUCAGUUUUUGCUUUUGGAUGUGACUCUGAUCAACAAGCUUCUGAAAAAUGGAAAGCUUCUGAAGUUGUGUUACGUUUCUGAAGACUCUGAAGAUUCUGGAGACAUUGAAGAAAUCAAGCCAGACUACUGACGCUGCCAAGGUUCUGAAGUUUCUGAAUCCAUCUCUAUAUUUCUUCACUUCAUGCUUCAAUCAUAUUUUAUCAGAAGCCAAUGAAUCUGAAAAUAAUAUCAAAUGGGAACUUGAUCAAAUAGUACAUAGUACAAAUUAAACAACCUUUCCACUACCUGAUUUCGUGGGCAAGGACUGUACUAUUCAUCACACAUGUUACUGAUUAUGUGGGCGAAAGGAUAGUACAUGGUAUCAUUCCUUUCUCAUCCAACAGUGGACAGCCGCUCAAGGAGCUUUCCCCAUUUUGCCCUCCAACGGUCACAUGCUUACACUAUAUAAGCAUGCAUUGGAGACUUGAAGAAUUUGCUGAUCUACACAAGUAUUUUGACAAGCUAUUUUUCUUUGUCAAAAGCUAUCAUCUUUUGCAUACAGUGUUCUUUAAGUAUUUAUUAUUCACUUAUGUAAAUCUGAAGCUACAUCAGUCUUCUCAACAACGUCAGUCUUGAAGAAUUUCUUAGUUCUUUAACAAGUCAUGAGAUUAAGCUAGAAGAAGAUGAAUCUCGUAAGAGAGGUAAAUUUGUAGCUCUAAAAUCUAAUCCUGAGAAGACUAGAGCAUAUCAAGUUGAGAAAGAAUCAGAAGGAUCUGGUGAAGGCUCAGAAGAUGAUGAGUUGUCUCUAAUCUCAAGGAGAGUCAACGGACUCUGGAAACACAGGCAAAGUGGUCAAGGGAAAUCCAAAGGAGUCAAAAGGAUUGUUGGUCUCUUCAAAGCCUCAUCUGGUAAAAAGAAGCGAACUUCUGGAAAAGAAGUUACCUGUUUCGAGUGCAAGGAGGCAGACCAUUACAAGAAUGACUGUCCCAAGAUGAAGAAGGACAGAAGGCCCAAGAAGAACUUCUCCAAAAUCAAGAAGGGGUUGAUGGCUACCUGGGAUGACUCAGAAUCUGAAGAAGAAGAUUAUGACGAAGAAAAAGCUAAUGUUGCACUGAUGGUAACUAUUGAGGAUCCUACAAGCUCUAAGGAACCAGAAGAUAAGGUUUUGUCAGAAUUAGAAUCCGACUCUGAUUCUGAAGAGGUAUUCUCUAAACUAUCUCGUUCUGAUAUUCAAAUUUGUCUUUCUGAAAUGCUGGAAAAGUACUAGAGUCUUCAAAGAAAAUGCAAGGACCUUAAAAAAGUCCAAGUGACUGCUUCUGAAACUCAGAGAGAACUCGAGAAUGAUAUUUCCUCUCUAAACGAAAAAGUAUUUUCUUUAGAAAGUAAUAACUCUGCCUUGAAAAGCAAAAUUUCAAAACUAGAGGAGGAAAUAACUUCAGAAGUUUUUGGUACUGAUUGUGUCAUCAGAUAUGACAGAGCAUUCCAGUACUUUCUGGCUAAAAGCAUACAUAGAAUCAAAAUGGCUUCCUUGAUAUAUGGAGUUAACAGAAAUGGAAAGAAAGGUUUGGGUUGUACAGAAACUACAAAACCUGACGAAAGUCAGAAGGUCAAACCAAAACCUCUCUAUGUGCAUUUCGUGCGUGCUGGCACUGAGUCUGAUAUUUCUACACAGACACAGAAGCAUACUAAGGAUAGGAACUUUGUUUUGAAACCUAAGUAUCAUUCACAAAUCUCUCAAGAUUAUGCUUCUGCUAAAAGACCCAAAGUUAUGAGAAACUCUGGGAAAACUAACAAAAGAGGACCCAAAAAGUGGGUACUUAAGGAUAAAAUCAUUUAUGUUGCAGACAUCCUUAACAGCUCAAUUGAGAUACCAAUCAUGAUACCUAGACAAUGGAUGCUCGCGACACAUGACGGGAAGAAGGUCUAUGUUCCAAGAUUUGGAACUUAAGCCUUGAGGCUUUGUUAGUUUCAGAGGAAACCAGAAAGGAAAGAUCAUUGGCUCUGGAAUCAUUUAUGGGUCUAGCAUAGACGUUUGGGUCAUGUUAGCAUGAGAAGGAUUUCUUAGCUAAAUAAGCUUGAAUUAGUCAGAGGUCUACCCAAAAUGAUGUUCACAUGCUCGCGACACAUGACGGGAAGAAGGUCUAUGUUCCAAGAUUUGGAACUUAAGCCUUGAGGCUUUGUUAGUUUCAGAGGAAACCAGAAAGGAAAGAUCAUUGGCUCUGGAAUCAUUUAUGGGUCUGGCAUAGACGUUUGGGUCAUGUUAGCAUGAGAAGGAUUUCUUAGCUAAAUAAGCUUGAAUUAGUCAGAGGUCUACCCAGAAUGAUGUUCACUUCAGAUGCUCUUUGUGAAGCAUGUCAGAAAGGAAAAUUUUCUAAAACAUGUUUCAAAGCUAAAAAUUUUGUUUCUACCUCUAGACCAUUAGAACUUCUGCUCAUUUAUUUGUUUGGAUCAGUGAAAACUGCCUCUAUCUAUGGAAAGAAGUAUGGAUUAGUCGUAGGACAUGGGUAAAGUUCUUGAAACACAAGGAUGGGUUUCACUCUGUGUUCUCCACCUUCUGCUCACUGGUGCAAACAGAAAUGAAUUGCAAAAUAGUCAAAGUCAGAAGUGAUCAUGGUGGAGAAUUCGAAAAUAAACUGUUUGAAAAAAAAAUUGAUUCAAAUGGUAUUUCCCAUGAUUUCUCAUGUCCUAGAACUCCAUAAAAAAUGGAGUUGUUGAAAGGAAGAAUAGGACUUUACAAGAAAUGGCUUGAACCAUGAUCCAAGAAACUAAUAUGGCUAAGCAUUUCUGGGUAGAAGCAGUUAACACAGCAUGUUAUAUUCAGAACAGGAUUUCUAUUCGACCUAUUCUGGGUAAGACUCCUUAUGAAUUGUGGAAGAACAGAAAGCCCAACAUUUCUUACUUUCAUCCUUUUGGAUGUGAAUGCUUUAUGUUAAACACUAAAGAGAAUCUUGGCAAGUUUGGCUCUAAGGCACAGAAGUGUUUACUGUUAGGAUAUUUUGAACGCUCUAUAGGCUACAGAAUAUUUAAUACAGAAACACGAAUUGUUGAGGAAUCAAUUCAUGUUAGAUUCAAUGAUAAGCUUGAACUUGAAAAGUCAAAGCUAGUUGAGAAAUUUGCAGACCUGAAGAUCAAUCUUUCAGAAUCCAAAGAAAUUAUCUCUGAAGAAAAAGACUCAGAAGGCAAGGCUAAAGAAUUUAAAGAAACGACUCAACCAGAAGCAACCGUUGAUCCAACUCAUUAAAAGAAGAGUAGAUCAAGAACUUCUCAUUCUGAAGAACUGAUUCUAGGAAACAAGAAUGCUUCAGUCAGAACUAGACCUUCAUUCAGACCCUCUGAAGAAACUCUUCUAGGUUUGGUGUCUCUGAUAGAACCCACAUCCAUUGAUGAAGCUCUUCUGGAUAAUGAAUGGAUUCUAGCCAUGAAAGAUGAACUAAAUCAAUUCACUAGAAACGAUUUUUAGGAUCUUGGUCAAAAACUAAAAGGCUCCCAUGUCAUUGGAACCAGAUGGGUUUUCAGAAACAAGCUGAAUGAGAAAGGCGAAGUUGUCAAAAACAAAGGUCGAAUGCUAGCACAAGGUUAUAGUCAACAAGAACCUAUAGACUAUACAUAAACCUUUGCUCCAGUUUCCAGGUUAGAGUCUAUUCGUCUUUUAAUUUCCUUUACAGUCAAUUAUAACAUCAUACUUUAUCAGAUGGAUGUUAAGACUACAUUCCUAAAUGGUUAUAUUUCUGAAGAUGUUUCUGUGCAUCAACCUCCUAGUUUCGAAAAUUCUCAAAACCCUGACUUUGUUUUUAAAUUGAAAAAGUCUUUGUAUGGUCUAAAGCAAUCUCCGAGAGCUUGGUAUGAUAGACUAAGCAACUUUUUGUUGAAAAAUAAUUUUACCAUAGGAAAAGUGGACACAGCUCUCUUUUGCAAAACCUUCAAGAAUGACAUCCUGGUUGUGCAAAUAUAUGUUGGUGAUAUUAUUUUUGGUUCUGCUAAUGUGUCGUUGUGCAAGGAUUUUGCUAAGUCUAUGCAGGCAGAAUUUGAAAUGAGUCUGAUGGGAGAACUGAAGUUCUUUCUGGGAAUUCAAAUUGAUCAAAAACCAGAAGGCACGUAUAUUCAUCAAAGCAAAUAUACAAAGGAACUUCUGAAGAAAUUCAACUUAUUAGAAUGUAAGCUAGCAAAGACUUCAAUGCAUCCUACAUGCAUUCUGGAGAAAGAAGAGGUAAGUAGUAAGGUAAAUCAGAAGCUUUUCAGUGGUAUGAUAGGUUCUCUUUUGUAUCUAAUAGCUUCUAGACCUGAUAUAUUAUUUAGUGUAUGAUUAUGUGCUCGCUUCCAAUCAGAUCCUAGGUAAACUCACUUAACUGUUGUUAAGAGAAUCUUUAGGUAUCUGAAAGGUACUAAUAAUCUUGGUUUAUUUUAUAGAAAAUCAAAUGAUUAUAAAUUAGUAGGCUAUUGUGGUGAUGACUAUGCUGGAGAUAGAAUUGAAAGAAAAAAUACUUCUGGAAGUUGCCAGUUUCUGGGAGACAACUUAAUCUCAUGGUCCAACAAGAGACAGACAACAAUUGCACUAUCAAUAGUUGAGGCUGAAUACAUUGCAGGUUCUGGAUGCAGCACUCAGAUACUCUAGAUGAAGAGUCAGCUGGAAGAUUAUCAGAUAUCUGAGAGUAACAUUCUUAUUCUCUGUGAUAAUACUUCUGCUAUCUGUUUAUCUAAGAAUCCUAUUUUGCAUUCUAGGGCUAAGCAUAUUGAAAUAAAACAUCAUUUUUUACGUGACUAUACUCAGAAGGGAAUCUUCCACUUAAAACUUGUUGAUACAGACCAUCAAUGGGAUGAUAUAUUUACAAAACCCCUUGCUGAAGAUAGAUUCACAUUCAUUCUGGAAAAUCUAUUUAUGAAACCAUGUCCAGAAUGAAAAGAUGUUAUUCAGAAUGUAAAGUCUCUAGAACUUUAGGUAAGAUUCUGAGGUUGUUCUGCUUUCUAACUCUGAAACUUGAAGCUUUCUGAAGUAAGGAAGUUUUCAUGAAUCAAAAAGGUUUUGAUCAGAAGCAAUCUUAUCAAUUUGUCUUCCUGAUUCUGAACAGUUGCUGCAUUUAAUGGUUGUCCUUUCAUUUGAUUUUGUGUGGUUCUUUGUGGAGACAGUUGUCCCACUUUCUGAGCAUGCGUGAUUAAAGUGUGACACAUUGGGUUUAACAAUUCUUGGAAUUAGGUCCAAACCUUUACACUUCCCCCCAUGAUUGUGCACACCUUUUUUUGUCAUCAUUGCUAAAAUUGCCUAUUUAAACUCACAUCACUCACUUUUUCACACUACACACAUAUUUAUCCUACAUUUUCAAGUUUUCCAAACCUCAAACUCUCUCUCUCUCUCUCUCAAUUGUUCUUCAUCUUCAUCCUCUCUCAUUCAAAUGGCUGAACAACAAUCUCCAAAGACUACUGAACAACAACAACAUAUUGAACGCAACAUACUGGAAGGGAUUCCCGAACUUACUCUUCACACUUCAGUCAAUGAACUCACAGUGCUCUGUGAAACUAUCAUGGAUUUCGAAAACCUGAAGGAGAAUGGUUUUGAUUUCAUAAAAACUCUGAAUGUUCAAGGAUGGAACACGUUUUUCGAGAGACUCACAGGUCUAGUUUAUCUUCUGCUAGUCAAACAAUUCUGGGUCCAUGCCACUGCGGAAAAGGAAGCAAUUACCUCCUAUGUCAUGAAUAGGAAAAUUGUCAUCACUAAGAAGUCCAUUACGGACCUUAUUGGUCAUGAUGGCAAAGGUAAAAGAGUUCACAGUGCAACCAUCACAGCUAAGAGGGACGAUGAUAUCUCUCCAGUCAUCUUCAAAGAAGGUACCAACUUUGCUAAUGAAAAGGGUCCCAGUGCCAAGGAUUUAACCAACAAUUUGAGGGUAUGGUUCAAGAUUAUUUUGGGGUGUAUUAAUCACAUGCCAAGUACCAAUAGUUCUGACUACAUCAACACUCGUCAGAAGAUUAUGUUAUUCCUUCUGGAGAAUGGAGUUAAGUUGGGAUUGCCAUCGCUUCUGUUCAAAUUCAUCAGGGAUUCUAUCAGAGAAUCCAGAACUAGUGGAUCUUCCAAGAAAUCCAGAAGAAAAUUCAUACCAAAAGGCAGGUUAAUCUCAGACAUUCUGGUGGAAAAUGGUGUGGUAGAUGACAUUCUGGUCAGUGGGAUGACAUAAGAGCUGGUAAAGGACGUUGGGAAAGUGUUCUGGGGUAAGAACUUGAAAAGUACGGGUCUCAUCUCAAAAUUUGAAAGAUCAAAAAUCGUUCUGACCAAGGAUGAUAUAUGUGGUACAAGGAAUCCAAUAGAUGACUACCCCAUCUUCACCAAAGUAGAUCCUCCAUAGGUUUUGAUGGUUUAUUUAGAAAGUUGUCUUAAGGAUGGCAUCGACCCAUUGGUGGAUCCCUUAAAUCUCCUAUAAAACUACCCAGAGAUCCAUGGUAAAAGGAAGGAGGAAUUCAGAGGUGAAUGAUCCUCCAGAGCUCAGAAGAAGAAAAAUAUAGCUAUUUUUCAAAAUGAAGAUUAGGUGUCUCUAAGUGAGUGCCAAAAGGCUAUGAUUCUUAAGGAUACGUCUGGGGUCGUUCAACCCCCAAGAGCUUCUGGUAAGUUUCAUGUUGACACUUCUUAUUCUGUUUCUAUUCCAUAUAGAAUCUUACCACCUACACCACCAUCUCAAUGUAAUGUUUAUGAACCACUUCCAUUACCCACACCAGAAAUAACUCCACAUAUUUCAACACUUGUCAUCAAAAUACCACCACCACAAUCCACUCAAACUAUAGCAACAUCCGUCACAGAAACUCAUAUAGUUUCUAUCCCUGUUUUAGAACAACCAUUGAUACCACCUCCGCCAUUUCAUCCAUAGUUAUAAACUACACUCAUCUCAUCACCAUCAAAUGUUUCUGCUCCCCAACCAAUUAAUCCAAAUGUUUCCCCACCUCGGACAUCUCCUGCCAGAAGUGCCUCUGACGAACAUGUUUCUGAAGGCACUACUGAAGGAAUGUUUGAUUUCAAACCAGAAAUCACCUCACCGGAAUCAUCCUCUAUCAUUCAAUCCUCACAUCCCUCUGUCUUUGGUCCUGACUUUGACGAGUCCAUAAUCAAUCUCACCAUUAAAUAUCCCAAAGUCCAAACAUCAUCCUCUCCUAACCUUGGUAAGAUUCUAAUGGAGUUUGAUUCAGAAUCUAAGAGGCGUUUGGAGAUAGCAAUGAUUGUUAGUCAUUCUUCUGUAAACCAUGUUGCAAGUGAUUUAGCAUGGGAAGCCUAUAGAAGUUGGAUGAAUUCUGAAGUCUCUAAAAUUAAGGAUAUUGGGAAUACCUUAGCAGAAAGAAAAUUUCGUUUUGGGUUCGUGCCCUUAAUGGAAUUAUGGAAGCUGAAGAGUUCUCAAUUAUGCCUUCCUGUACCAGAAGUCAAAGAGACCUCUCCAGAACCCAUGGAAGAAGAAGAAGCUCCGACAACAGAACCUACUCAGAACAUUGAAUUUGCUUCUCCAAAACCUUUUGUUCCUGAACUUGAAGACGCUGUGAUGGAAGAAGCUCCAAACCAGAUCAUAGUCUUAGAAGCUUUUGUGUCUCGACCUAUUCCAGUUUCUCUUUUGAGAAUCAUUGAGCAGAUUAAGGUUGAUAAUGCAAAGGUCAACGAGCGUCUAGACAAGAAAGAUCUGAUGUUUCAGCUGAUUCUGUCAAGACUUCCUCCCCCUCCUCCUCCUCCACCUCCUCCCCAAAACCCCUAAAAAAAAUUUACCUUAAAUUUUUCGCUUUCUUUUUUGUUUCUUAAACUAUACUCUGCACUGCCUUUUGGCAUGUUUUCAAUCAAUAAAGUUGUUUUGUUUCUCAUUAUUUACUUUGCCUUUUUUUCUUUUUGAUUGAUGACAAAGGGGGAGAAAACAUAACAUUCUAAAGGGGGAGAAUUAAGCGUUUAUUUUGAUAUCUAAAUUCCUAAGUUAAAAAUCCAAACAUUGUUUAAAUAUUUUUGUUAACAAAUACUUCGAGAAAACUUUGUUACGUGUUUUUUAAGGGUUAACUCUCAAGAUUCAAAAUGGUUUGUUAAGCUUCUUUCUCAAGAAUCAGAAUAAAUCUCAAAGAAGUUUUUGAAGAAAGGUCUUCAAAGUUUCUGAAGAGAGGUUUUCAAAGAAGUUUCUGAAUAAAGUUCUUCUGAAGGUAUAUCAAAAUGAUGAUGUUAUUAACCAGUGUUCUGGACAACAUCAAUCAAAUUCUGAAGUUAAACCAGAUUCUGACUAAUUAUUCAUUUUGGUACUUCAAAAGGUAAAUCAGGAAAGUGUUCUUUCAUUAUGAGUUUAUCUUUAUAUGACUAUACAUCUCAGGGGGAGCUUUGUGCUUUUUUAAGAUGUAUUCUUUUGUGAUUACCCUGUACAAAAUUGUUCAUCAAAAUACAUGUUUUGUCAUCAUCAAAAAGGGGGAGAUUGUUAGAACAAGAUUUGGUUUUGCAUCUAUACCUUGAGUUUUGAUGAUAACAAUGUUGUAUUUGUGUGAGAAUAAUUUUGGUACCCUAAUGGUUUGUUAUUGUGUAGCUUUAACAAAAAGUUCUGAUUUUGAUGACUGAUGUGCAAAUUCAUCAGUUUCUGAACUCCGUGUUCCAAAUUCGCUUCUGUGUUGCAAUUAGAAGUUUUGAAAUGCGUCAAUAUUGUUGUUGCAAUGUCCUUUCUGCUUUUGCGUUAUCUCACCCAUUAGAAGCUUCUGAGGAGACUCUGUAUUGAUGUUGUAAUGUUCUCUCUGUUUUUGCUUCUGGAUGUGACUCUGAUCAACAAGCUUCUGAAGAAUGGCAAGCUUCUCAAGUUGUGUUAUGUUUCUGAAGACUCUAAAGAUUCUAAAAACACUGAAGAACUCAAGCCAGACUACUGACGCUGCCAAGGUUCUGAAGUUUCUGAAUCCAUCUCUAUAUUUCUUCACUUCAUGCUUCAAUCAUAUUUUAUCAAAAGCCAAUAAAUCUGAAAAUAAUAUCAAAUGGGAACUUGAUCAAAUAGUACAUAGUACAAAUUGAACAACCUUUCCACUACCUGAUUUCGUGGGCAAGGACUGUACUAUUCAUCACACAUGUCACUGAUUAUGUGGGCGAAAGGAUAGUACAUGGUAUCAUUUCUUUCUCAUCCAACAGUGGACAUCCGGUUAAGGAGCUUUCCCCAUUUUGCCCUCCAACGGUCACAUGCUUACACUAUAUAAGCAUGCAUUGGAGACUUGAAGAAUUUGUUGAUCUACACAAGUAUUUUGACAAGUUAUUUUUCUUUGUCAAAAGCUAUCAUCUUUUGCAUACAGUGUUCUUUAAGUAUUUAUUAUUCACUUGUGUAAAUCUGCUUUUGAAGAAGCAUCUUGUAACACGUAAACUUUUAUUCAAACUAUUUGUUUGAUUCCUUAAGGAGGUUAUUCUUGAGAAGACAAAGAAGGUUGUUCUUUGUGAAUCCUUGAGGAGACUAAGGUUUAGUUGGAUCAUUGAGAAGAAAAAGAAGGGUAUUUUUUGUGUUUAUUGUAAUUUAUUGAUUAUAGUGAAUUAAGUCCUUGUAUAUAAGGCAAAUCACCUUGGCGGGUGGACUGGAUUAGCUUUGAGUUUCAAGUGAACCAGGAUAAAAAUCAUAGUGCUUUUAUCUCUUCAUUAUUUAACUUGUUAGUGGUGUUUUUGUUUUGGAAAAAGCUUUUACUUGUAAAAUCCGAUUUCAACCCCCCCCCCCCCAUCUUGUGUUUUUCAAACCUUCAGAAGAGAUUGAAGCUAAGGAAGAAGGAUACUUAAUACUUGUCAAUCGGGUAACCUUUUGAUUCACUGUCGACACUUUUCGUUUUCUUUUUUUAUUUGCGCGCGAUUAGGAUCGAACAACAUGCAUCAGGAGUUCUGAGUCGUCAUAAAUAAUGAAUAUGACGCUCCGAUACGAGACGAGAUGUUGUUAUUAAGAAGAUGCAAUGCCAAAUCCAACAUGAUUCACGACUCACCUCCCUGUGAUUCUGCAGUGUUUCUUCCAUUGGACUUGGACCCUGUGUGGAGGUUUGAACACCGGAAUCUUGCAGCUUUAUCCCGUUUCCGUUCCUAUUUUGAAGGCGCACACGCAAAGAUGAAGCGCGGUGAAAGUUGUAGUGCGGCCAAGCUUUUGAUGUGGAUGCAUUUGGAUUAGGACUCGAGUCACAGUGAGAGUUUGUCCAAUUUGAACUCAAGCCCAAACGUUUUGGCCGUGCACUCCCAACAAUCGCUAUCAACACCCCCUCUCAAUUCUAAUUGACAUUGGGUCGGGACUUUCAGGCAUAUCCUCAGUUUUUGUUGGAUCCAUUUUUUCUCUUCUUGUUUUAUUGAUUAGUUAGCAAUUAGAUCAUUAGCAUUUAAUUUGGUUUUAGGUUAAUUAGCUUAAUUAGAAGAUUAUGAUUUAAUUAGAUUAAUUAGGAUUUUUAGAUUUUAAUUAGUUUAGUUAGAUUUUAGAAUUAGAUGUUAAGAUUAUUUUAAUUAGAGGAUUAGGAUUUAACUAGAUUAAUUAGGAUGUUUAUAUUUUAAUUAGUUUAGUUUGAUUUUAGAAUUAGAUGUUAACAUUAGAUUAAUUAAAGGAAUAGGAUUUAAUUAGAUUAGUUAGGAUUAAACCUGAUUAGUUCAGUUAGGUUUUUUAGAUUUUAAAAUUUUGAUUAGAUUUAAUUAGGAUUACAUAUUGAUUAGUUUAAUUAGGAUAAUAUGUUUUUUUAGAAUAUUAGUUAAUUGGAUAUUAGAAAUUAAUUAGGUUGUUAGAAUUUUUAGUAUUUUAGAAUUAAUUAGAAUUGUUUAGAUUCAAUGGAGUUUAAUUAAAUUUUUCAUGAUUAGAAAUUAAUUUGAUAUCAAUAAUUUGAACAGAAAUGGUCAUUUUGCCCUUAGGGCUUAGAAUUCUGAUUUUUUAUACAUGUUCCCCUAGUUUAGGGUCUUAAUCAGAAUUUUUUUAUUUUAUUUAGUUGAUUAAUUCCAUAGGUUUAUUAUUAUACAUAGUUCAAUUAAUAUCUUCAGUCCCACUGAUUAGUGUUGACCAAAGGUCGCUUUGGUCAACCAAGUCAUUUGUAUUGUGUUGUAAGCCCCAAGCCUAUUCAAGUGAUCAAAAGACCCUUGAUCACUUGAUAUGGCAAGUUCAUUAUGCUCAAGCUAUAUUUGAUAUGUUGAAUCUCAAGAGCUCAACACCUCAAGGUUCAAAUCCAAGAUCAAGACUUCAAGUCAACAUCAGUCAAGCGUAGCUAGCAAAGUGGACUACUUCUAAAGCACAGCAAAGGUAUCAACACUUGACAAGUGUGAUUCAAAUUGUAAGCCAUAAGCCUUAAGUAAUGAGGAAUGAUGAGACGGAGUUUCUCCUACCCUUGUCUAGAAUGACUUUGCGUAUGGGGCAUAGGCCCUAGCUAUUCAAAGCAUUCUCCCUCAUUCAUAGACUUUACCAUAAUUCGAAUCAAAUAAUUAUCAAGUCUUCUCAACACAACAAACAACAUGGCAUCAUUAAGAUCAAUAAUCAGAAUCCCCUAACAACACUUGUAAAUCAUGAUAAGGGUUACAUUGUAUGAGCCUUAAGUAAUGAGGAAUGAUGAGACGAAGUUUCUCCCACUCUUGUCUAGAGUGACUUUGAGUGCGGGGAAUAGGCCCUAGCUAUUCAAAGCAUUCUCCCUUGUUCAUAGACUUUGGUGCAAUCUGAAUCAUGCAAUUGACCAAGUCUCCUUCAAGCAAGCAUCAAUCAUUCAACUUUUGCUUUUAGCACCUUGUGGUUGUACACCCUCUUUCAUUCAACUCUUUCCUGCCUAUGAGGUGAUAGACCUUGGCACUCCAUUUGCCUUGUAGGGUUAUGGACCCAAGCAAUUCAUUCAUUCUUGCAUAUAAGGUGGUAGACCUUGGCAACCUUUCCUUGCUUAUGAGGUGAUAGACCUUAGUAUUCCUUUUGCCUUGUGAGGUGGUGGACCUUGGCAACAUGUUCUCACCUUCAAGGUGGUAGACCUUGGCAAUAUUUAUUUUUCCCCGUGAGGUGGUGAACCUUGGCAAUCUCUUUCGGUGCCUAUGGAGUUAUAGACUUUGGCAGUUGGUUAUAGACCUUGACGAUUUCUUUGCUUAGCCUUGUAGAGAUAUGGACUCUUGGGAAUCCCCUUGCCUAUUGGGUUGUGGACCUCGACAGUGGUUUCCUUUACCUUUAGAGUUAUAGACCUUGGCAUCCUUUCUCAUUGCCUUUUGAGGUGAUAAACCUUGGCAGUUCAGUUCUUUGCCUUCAGAUUUAUAAACUCUAGUAGUGAUACCUUACCUAGAAGGUUGUGAACCUUGGAACUCCUUUUUCUGCCUCGAAGGCUUAUGUACCCUGGCAAUCAAUUUAUCUUCCUUUGUUUCAUCCAUAGUAGGCUGAACUACGAAAGCUUUGAAUUUCUCAUUGCAUGGUGAGAAUACGUAGGCACGAGGAUUCAGAUUCUCCGCGAGCUACCCUGUUUAUUGAUUAUAUCUUAUCUAUUAUCUUCUCCAUUCAAUCAAUACCAUCUUUUGAGAUCAUAUAGUUAUCCUUGGACUCCAUUUCAUCCUUUUAGAACGAUAUAGCGGAAGUCCGCCUUGUGAACCAAGAGUUGUUUGGCUCGUAUCCAAACAUUUAAUUCCUUCUUUUUUGACUAAGACGUUUGUUUACUCUUUGGUUCAGAGUCUAUUCCUUCAUGGGUCCAAUAUACCAUUCUUCUUUGGUUUCAAAUUGUUUGUUCCCCAGCAAGUGAUAUAUUGUUCCUUGUAUCCAAACAAAAAAUUCUUGUGGGUCCCAUACCCAUCCUUUUAGGGCAUUUGUCCAUCUUGUUAACCAAGAGAUGUUUUCCUUGAUGUCAAACACCUAAUUCAUUCUUUUUGGUAAGAAAAUACAGUGGGUAUGCCUCUGUCUCUCCACAUCUUAGUCUGUAUCUUUUUACUCUUGGGUUUAAAGCCAGUUUACCUUUAUGGGUUCCCGUUUUACCAUUCUAUUGGUACAAGUGAUAUUGUUUAUCACUUCAUUCAUACCAUUAAAUUUGUUUGUCUUGUUAGUCCUAGUUCCUUAGGAAAACACUUCCCCAUAUCCCUUUUGUUUUCGUGGUUCCACGAACUAUGAAUGCUCUGACUUUCUCAUUGCAUGAUGAGAAUGUUAGAAUAAGAUUUGGUUAUGAAUUUAUACCUUAAGUUUUGAUGAUAACAAUAUUGUAUUUGUGUGAGAAUAAUUUUGGUACCCUAAUGGUUUGUUAUUGUGUAGCUUUAACAACCAGUUCUAAUUCUGAUCAUAUGAUGUGCAACAUCAUCAGUUUCUAAACUUUGCAUUCCAAAUCCGCUUAUACGCCUCCUAUUAGAAGUUUUGAAAGACGUCAAUAUUGUUGCUGCAAUUUGCUUUCCGCUUCUGUGUUAUUUCACUCGUUAGAAGCUUCUGAGGAGACUUUAUCUUGCUGUUGUAAUGUUCUCUCACUUUAUGCUUCUAGACGUGACUCUGAUAACCAAACUUUUGAAGAAUGGAAAGCUUCUGAAGUUGUGUUAUGAAGCUGAAGAUUCUGAAGAUCUCAAGCCAGAAAUUUGAAGUUAUCAAGGUUCUGACUGAGGAUUCUAAAGACUCUGAAGAUAGUGAAGACCUCAAGCCAGAUUAAUGACGUUGUCAAGGUUCUGACCCAAGGUUUUGAAGUUUUUGAAUCUAGCUAUAUACUUCUUCACUUCAUGCUUUAAUCAUCUUUAAUCAGAAGCCAGUGAAUUUGAAGAUAAGAUCAAAAUGGGAAUGUGAUCAAAUAGUACAUGGUGCAAAUCGAACAACCUUUCAACUACCUAAUUUUGUGGGCAAGGAAAGUACUAUACAUCACAUAUGUCACUGAAUUUAUGGGUGAAAGAAUAGUACACAGUAUCAUUCCUUUCCCAUCCAACAGUGGGCAGCCGCUCAAAGGAGAUUUCCCUAUGUUGCCCUCCAACAGUCACAUGUUUAUGCUAUAUAAACAGGCAUUAGAGACUUGAAGAAAACGAUAAUUUGCACAAGUAUUUUGACAAGCUAUUUUUCUUUGUGAAAAGCUAUCAUUCUUUAUAUACAAUUUUCUUUAAGUGUUUGUUAUUCAUUUGUGUAAAAUUUGAUUGUGUAGAAGCAUCUUGUAACACACUAAAUAUUCUUCAAACUCUUUGUUUGAGUCCUUAAGGAGUUUAUCCUUGAGAAGACAAAGAAAGAUGUUCUUUGUAAGUCCUUAAGGAGACUAAGGUUUAGUUGGAUCCUUGAGAAGACAAAGAAGUUUAUUCUUAGUGUUUAUUGUAAUAUGUUGAUUAUAGUGGAUUAAGUCCUUGUGUAUAAGGCAAAAUUACCUUGGCUGGUGGAUUGGAUUAGCUUUGAGUUCAAGAGAACCAGGAUAAAAAUCAUUGUGUUUUUAUCUCUUUGUUAUUAACUUGUUAGUGGUGUUUUUGUUUUGGAAAAAGAUUUUGCUUGUAAAACCCAAUUCAAACCCCCUUUUUCUUGUGUUUUUCAUGAAUCAAAAAAGGUUCUGAUCAGAAAAAAUCUUAUCGAUUUGUCUUCCUGGUUCUGAACAUUCGUUGUAUUAAAUGGUUGUCUUCUCAUUUGAUUUCAUGUGGUUCUUAGUGGCGACAGUUAUCCCACUUUCUGAGCAUGUGUGAUGAAAGCGUGACACAUUGGGUUUAAAAAUUCUUAGAAUUAGGUCUAAACUCUUAUGCUUCCCCCUAUAUAAACCCAAUUCACUCACAUUUUCACACUACGCGCUCAUCUCUCCCACAGUUUAGUUUUUCAAACCUUAAAACAACCUUUUUUCUCUAUGCAAUUGUUCUUCAUUUUCAUCUUCAUCUUCUUCAAAUCAAAUGGAUGAUCAACAACAACAAUCUCCAAGCUCCUCAAAGGAAACUGAAAGCAACAACAUAUUGGAAGGAACUCCUGAGUUAACCCUUCACACUCUGGUCAAUGAGUUAAUAGUGUUAUGUGAAACCAUUAUUGAUUUCGAAAACCUAAAGGAUAACGGUUUUGAUUUCACUUAAACUUUAAAUGUUCAAGGAUGGAACACCUUAUUUGAGAGACUCACAAGCCCAGUUUACCCUGUGUUAGUAAAGCAAUUUUGGGUUCAUGCAACUGCUGAGAAGGAAACCAUCACUUCCUAUGUCAUGAAUAGAAAGAUAGUCAUCACUAAGAAGUCUAUAGCUGAUCUCAUUGCUCAUGAAAGUAAAGGGAAGAGGGUUCACAAUGCAACAAUCACUACUAAGAGAGAUGUUGUCAUUUCUCCUGUCAUCUUCAAGGAAGAAACCAACUUCGCUGAUGAAAAGGGUCCCAGUGCUAAGGACUUAACAAGGAACCUAAGGGUUUGGUUCAAGAUCAUUUUGGGUUACAUUAACCAUAUGCCAAGUACAAAUAGUUCUGACUACAUCAACACACGUCAGAAAUUCAUGCUAUUUCUUCUAGAAAAGGGUGUCAUGUUGGGACUUCCAUAACUUCUGUUUAAGUUCAUGAGGGAUUCUAUCAGAGAAUCCAGAACUGGUGGAUCAUCUAAGAAGUCUAGAAGAAAAUUCAUUCCCAACGGUAGAUUGAUUUCUGAUAUCCUUGUGGAAAGUGGCUUAAUGGAUGACCUUCUGGUCAGUGGAUUGACAGAAGAGUCGGUGAAGGAUGCUGGCAAAGUCUUAUGGGGGAAGAAUCUGAAAAGUAUAGGUCUUAUCUCCAUAUUUCAAAGGUCAAAUGUCAUUUUGACUAAGGAUGAUAUAUGUGGUAUAAGAAAUCUCAUUGAUAACUACCCUAUAUUCACCAAAAUUGACCCUCCACAGGUUUUGAUGGCUUAUUUGGAAAGAUGUCUGAAGGACGGAAUUGAACCUUUAGUGGAUCCUUUUAACCUUCCAAAAACUUACCCUGAUGUUCAUGGAAAGAGAAAGAAGGAGUUCAGAGGCGAAUGGUCUUCUAGGGCUCAGAAGAAGAAGAAGAUUGUUAUCUUUCAGGAUGAAGAUGAGGUGCCUCUGAAGGAUACUGCUGGAGUUGUCAAGUCUUCAAGAGUUUCUGGUAAGCCUCCUUCUUAUAGAAUUCCUUUAAAUUAUGAUUCAAUAUCUUCUGAAAGGAUAUUACCAAUCCCUCCUUCAUAUUAAUCCACUAUUUCUGAACCAAUCCCAAUUCCACCAUCAAAAUCAAACCCACCAAUAUCAACUCCAAUCAUAGAAAUUCCACCACCAAUAUCAAAUCCCAUAAUAGAAACUCCUGUUACAGAAAUUCCCAUCAAUAAAACUCCUUUAGUUUCUGCUCCUGUUUAAGAACAACAACAGAUACCACCACCAUUAUCUCCUCCACAAUUACAAAUUUCACCCAUCUCCCGUAACGAACUAAUCCAUAUUUUGCAAUACCUAGAGCAUCUCCCGCAAGAAGUGUUUCUGACGGAAAUGUUUCUGACGGCACUCCUGAAGGAAUGUUUGAUUUUGAACCAGAAAUCACCUCACAUGAAUCACCUCCUGCUAUUCAACCAACACAUCCUUCUAUUUUUAGUCCUGACUUUGAUGAGUCCAAAAUCAACCUCACAAUAAAAUACCCAAAACUACCAACAAAAUCCUCCCCUAACUUUGGUAAGGUUCUGAAGGAUUUUGAAUCUAAAUCUAAAACUUGUUUGGAGAAAGAAAUGACUAUCAAUCGUUCUUCUGUAAAUCAUGUUACAAGUGAUUCAGCAUGGGAAGCUUAUAGAAGUUGAAUGAACUCUGAGAUUUCCAAGCUGAAGGAUCUUGGGUACACUCUUGCUAGAAGCAAAUUCCAUUCUGGGUCCGUGCCCUUAAUGGAACUGUGGAAGCUAAGAAAUUCCCAAUUAUGCCCUCCUGCUCUAGAAAUCAAGGAAGCCUCUCUAGAAGCUAUGGAAGAAGAAGAAGUUGCUCCAUAAAUAGGGAUCGUUUAGCACAUUGAGUCUGCUCCAGAACCUGCUCCUACUUAUGACCCUCAAGACUCUAUUAUGGAAGAAGCUCCUACUCAGAUGGUCGUCUCAAAAGCUUCUACCUCUCAGCCUAUUCUGGUUUCUCUUCUAAGGAUAAUUGAGUAGAUCAAGGCUGAUAAUGCAAAGGUAAAUGAGCGUCUGGAUAAGCAAGAUCUCAUGUUCCAACUGAUUCUCUCAAGGCUUCCUCCUCUUCCUCCACCUCCUCCCCAGAACCCUUAGUUUAUAUUAUUUUUUUACCUUCUUGAAAUUUUUCUUUUGGUGUACUCUGCACUGCCUGUUGGCAUUUUAAUCAAUGAAAAUUGUUUUGUUUCUCUUUAUUUAUUUAUUAUCUUUUUGAUUGAUGACAAAGGGGGGGAAAACAUAACAUUCUAAAGGGGAAGAAUUAAGUGUUCAUUUUGAUAUCUAAUUUCCUUAAGGAAAACCCAAACAUUGUUUAAUGAUUCUGCUAGCAAAUACUUCGAAAAAGAGUUUGUUAAGUGUUUGCAUGGUUAUUUCUCAAGAAUCAGAAUGGUUCUGAAUAUGCUACUUUUGAAAAUCAUGCUUCUGAAAAGUCAAGGUUCUAAAAACCUUAUCCUUCAAGGAAGAAAAGUUUCUAAAGAAAAGCUUAUGUAUUGAAGCCUAUCAGAAUGAUGAUGUUAUCAACCAGUGCUUUGGACAAUAUCAACUAACUUCUGAAGAUAAAUCAGAUUUUGACUGAAUAUUCACUCUGGUACUUCAAAAAGGUUAAUCAGGAAAGUGUUCUUUCAUUCUGAUUUUAUCUUUAUAGGAUUAUACAUCUCAAGGGGAGCUUUAUGCUUUUUUAAGAUGCAUUCUUCUGUGAUUACCCUGUACAAAAUUGUUCAUCAAAAUAUAUGUCUUGUCAUCAUCAAAAAGGGGGAGAUUGUUAGAACAAGAUUUGGUUUUGCAUCUAUACCUUGAGUUUUGAUUAUAAAAAUAUUGUAUUUGUGUGAGAAUAAUUUUGGUACCCUAAUGGUUUAUUAUUGUGUAUCUUUAACAACCAGUUCUGAUUAUGAUCAUAUGACGUGCAACAUCAUCAGUUUCUGAACUUUGUGUUCCAAAUCCGCUUAUGCGCCUCCUAUUAGAAGUUCUGGCAGACAUUAAAAUUGUUGUUGCAAUGUUCUUUCUUGUCUUGUGUUAUUUCACUUAUUAGAAGCUUCUGAGGAGACUUUGUGUUGUUGCUGCAAUAUUCUCUCAGUUCGUGCUUCUGGACGUGACUCUAUUAACCAAAGUUCUGAAGAAUGGCAAGCUUAUGAAGUUGCGUUAUGAAGAUGAAGAUUCUGAAGAUCUCAAGCCAUACAAUUGAAGUUAUCAAGGUUCUGACUGAGGAUUCUAAAUAUUCUGAAGAUACUGUAGACCUCAAGCCAAAUUAUUGACGUUGUCAAGGUUCUGACCCAAGGUUCUGAAGUUUCUAAAUCCAGCUCUCUACUUCUUCACUUCAUGCUUCAAUCAUCUUUAAUCAGAAGCCAAUGAAUUUGAAGAUAAGAUCAAUAUGGGAACGUGAUCAAAUAGUACAUGGUACAAAUUGAACAACCUUUCCAUUACCUGAUUUUAUGGGCAAGGAUAGUAUUAUAGGUCACACUUGUCACUGAAUUUGUGGGCGAAAGGACAGUACGUAGUAUCAUUCCUUUCCCAUCCAACAGUGGACAGCCUCUCAAAGGAUCUUUUCAUAUUUUGCCCUCCAACGGUCACAUGCUUAUGUUAUUUAAGCAGGCAUUGGAGACUUGAAGAAAACGAUAAUUUGCAUAAGUAUUUUGACAAGAUAUUUUUCUUUGUGAAAAGCUAUCAUUCUUUGUAUACAGUUUUCUUUAAGUGUUUGUUAUUCAUUUGUGUAAAAUCUGCUUGUAUAGGAGCAUCUUGUAACACACUAAAUAUUCUUCAAACUAUUUGUUUGAGUCCCUAAGGAGGUUAUCCUUGAGAAGACAAAAAAAGUUGUUCUUUGUGAGUCCUUAAGGAGACUAAGGUUUAGUUGGAUCCUUGAGAAGACAGAGAAGGUUAUUCUUUGUGUUUAUUGUAAUAUGUUGAUUAUAGUGGAUUAAGUCCUUAUGUAUAAGGAAAAAUCACCUUGGCGGGUGGACUGGAUUAGCUUUGAGUUCAAGUGAAUCAGGAUAAAAAUCAUUGUGUUUUUUAUCUCUUUGUUAUUAACUUGUUAGUGGUGUUUUUGUUUUGAAAAAAACUUUUUCUUGUAAAACCCAAUUCAAACCCCUUUUUUCUUGUGUUUUUCACACCUUCAGAGAAUAUGUAGGCACGAGGAUGUGAAUCCUUGACGAGUAUAAUCCUAAUUAUUCCUUCUUUUAUAUUAGGGCAUUCUCCAUUCAUCUCCAUGAUGCAUUCAUAUUCUACCUUCAUUCAUUUCAUGUGAUAUAAUCUACUUUUGAGCCAAAUACACUAUCUCUUUGAGCUUCAUUCAGCGUCUUCUUGUGGACCAAGAGUUGUUUGGCUUAUUUCCAGACACUUAAUUCUCUUUGUUUUAGUUAUUACAAUACAAUGACACCAUGCCUUAGGCCCCUCACUUGUUGGUUCAUACCAGUUUUACUUUUGGAUUCAGAUUUCACCCUUUUUUGGAGUUCAAACCAUAUUUGUUAUCGCAACCUCUUUUCACCUCCCGCCAUUAGUUCUAUGAACUACGGAGCUCUGAAUUCCUUAUUGUACUAUAAGGAUAUGUAGGCAUGAGGGAACUAAUCCUCACCGAGCACUUUAUCUAUUUCCAUCCUUUUCCCUUUAUUCUUUUGCGAGUAAACUUUAGAUAUAACAUCCAUUCGAGCAAGAACAAUCAAAAUGGUUCCCAUGGAGUACCAUGGAUGUAAGGGGUGAUAAUACCUUCCCCUUGCAUAACUGACUUCCUUACCCAGAGUCUCUUUCCCCUGGGUUUUAUCGAUGUUUUCCCUUUUCUUCGGAAAUAAAUAAAGUUUGAUGGAGACUUUGUUGUAUGUUCGAGUGUGCGAUGCACUCGGGUAUAUUUUGCAAGAUGUUAAGUGGUUGAGAACCCCAAUUAAUAUCGUCAACACUUAAAAUGAUCAGGAAAUAAUAUCAAAUCCCUCUAACUAGAGCCAAAUGAAUAGAAUUAGGUCAAACAUUACACCACGCAACUGAUAACAAAAUCCUAUCAAAUAUGCUCGUAGAGGACGAUCGAUCAAUUCAACAUUAUCAACGAACAAAUUAAAUUCAUACAUAUCUUCCCGUCUUGCAAAAUACCUCCUUCCACACACAUAGAUUUUAACCCCUUUGAAUAUUGAUAAAUUUUCCCAGUUGAUUAUAGAAAACAUAUUUUCCUCAUCUAUCACAAGGAACAUAAAUAUUAGUCAUGCUAGAACCUACUCUAUUACUAGAAAAAAUCUCAUUAUUGCUAAACGUGUGACUAAAACUCGAAGAAAAAAUCACACUCAAAAAGAGUAUCACACAUAUUUAGGAUACAACCCUAAAACUAGGGAUGGAAAAACGGGUCAUGGCCCGCCAGGCCAACCCACGUACCCAUCCAAAAAAUGGUGGGUUAGGUUGGGAUUUUGUGUCCGCCUACACACUCAGCUCGUCCAGCUUUAAGCUCGCCUUGCCUUAAGCCCGCCAAAAUAAGGGACGAGUUGGCCUGUCAACCUAGUUAUCAAGCACUCAAAAUAUUUAUUUUGUUGGUUUAAGGUUAAUACUUGAAAUAUAGUUUUGGAAUACUUGUUGAUGAUUCUAUUUUAUACAUUUAUUUGUGAAUAUAUGCAAUAUUUUUUUAAGUAAAAUCUUCUAAAAAGAUGCUUUAUAAAAAAUUAUUCUAAAAAAUAAGUGAAAAAUGUAACUGAAAUUUAAAAAUAAGCCUAUUAAUCUAUUAAAAAAUGAAAUAUAAAUAUAUAUAAAAAAAAUAGGCGGCCAAACCUGCCGCCUGCCACCCCGUCACCUUGGCGGGACGAGCUAGAUUUUUAAGUCCAAUUUCACUUGACAGACUUGUCCGCUCCGUCCCUUUUUUGGCGGGUUUAAGAUGGGGAGGGCGACCCAUUUUGCCACCCCUACCUAAAACACCCACUGACUGACAAAAGGAAAACCCUACUUCUUUAGACCACCACAAAGAUUUGUAUAAAAAUUGAUCCAUUCCUUCGAUAUUCGUAUCUUGGAUACAAACAAUAUUAAACUUUCUCUUUUUAAUCAAAAUUUUCAUCUCUUUCAUCUUAACCAUUCAUCUCAAACCUCUAACAUUAAUAUUAAUAAUCUUCAUUGCACACAAGCAAUAUCUUUCACAAGAGAUAACAAAAUAACUCUAUUAAAUUUUAUUUAAGGUCUUUUAAUAUAUAUAUAUAUAUUCAUAUUAUAUAUUUUAAUUAAAUUGGAUUUUUUUUAAGGUCUCUUAUUAACUCUUUAAUAUCUAUUGACAUAAACAACACUAGUUUAUAUCUCCUUCAAUGUUGGCUGGUAAGACUCGCAAUGGGUAAUUUUCUACAUCAUAAAUACCUUGACUUAUUAGUCUACUGAGUGUUCACAUUUAUACUUAUCCUCUUCUACAUGAUCUAAGACAAGGCCUUAAGUUCAAUUAAUCAACAUUAAUGGUUAUUUGUUCGAUAAUCAUCAUUAUGGGGGGACAUGUCAGAACAUUCUAAUAUUUUCUCAUAAAUGAUAUGCAUUUGGAUAUCUCUCCCUAGGGCAGUCUUCGUCACGCCAUUGUCUCAUAAUGGCUUUGCCCGACCUAAUCAUAACUCGACUUCUCUUACUCUUAGCCCGCCCAAUGUUAUGUUCCUCUUGGUUAAGCUCGUAUUACUUUUGGCCUAGAAAGUCUAAGGACUAUCUAAAAGGUACAUAGUCCCCCAAGCAUGAUGUCCAAAGGGUUGAAAUGCUUAAGAGUGAGGUCAUUCAAGCUUAUCUGACCUUAUUACUCGACCAACCUCCAAAUUUGGCUGAACGUUCAAGAGCCUUACAUGUGGGGGGGGGGGUCCAGUGUGAGGCCCUUAGUGAUGAAAUGCUUAAGAGUGAGGUCAUUCGGGCUAAUCCAGAAAAUUACAAGGAUCAAAUUUGGAGUUUGGUCGAAUGAGAAGGUCGGAUCAGCUCGAAUGAACUUACUCUUAAGCAUUUCUCCCCUAAAGGCCUCAUGCUUGGGGGGCUGUGUACAUCCCAAAAAAUUGCAGGGCAGAAUUUUGAGUUUGGUCGAGUAAUAAGGUCAUAUCAUCCCGGAUGAACUUACUAAACAUUUUGCCCCUAAGGACCUCAUGCUUGGGGGAGUGUGUGCAUCCUGAAAAACUGCAAGUGCAAAAUUUGGAGUUUGGUCAAGUAAUAAGGUCGGAUCUGCCCGAAUGACCUCACUCUUAAGCAUUUCACCUCUUUAGACCUCGUGUUUGGGGGACUAUGUAGCUUCCGGAUAUUCCUUAGGCUUGCUCGGCCAAAAGUAAUGUGAGUUUGACCAAUAGGGGCUUAAGAUUUAGGCGAGUUAGGAGUAAGACAAGUUGAGUUAUGAUUAAGUCAUCCAAAGCCAAGAUAAGACAAAGGCUCGACGAAGACCGCCCCAGGGUGAUAUAUACCGGAUAGAGCAUUUAUGAACAAUUAUCAUAAUGUUCCGACGUAUCCCCCACAAUGAUGAUUAUCGAAUAAAUGACAAUUGUUGUCCAUUAUGCUGAUUAAUGGUAGUUAAGGUUUUGUCUUGGAUAAUGCAAAAGGAGAAUGCAAUACCUAAAACCUUAAUUUAGGUUGUUUUACCCUUGAGUCGUUCCAAAUGUCUUAAAAGAUCUUUAAAAUUAAUUAUAAUAUCACUUUAAUUAUCUUAAUCAAUAAUAAAAAGUUUCUCUCUUUGAAUUUUAUUUUUUUUAUUAAAUUCCACCCCACCCUAUACUCCUACUUUGACUCUUCUCAUUCUCGAUGUAUAUUUAUACUAGUCUAUACUUAAUAUUUAUAAGGCAAACGACAUAUCCUAUCUAUAAGACACUGGUUGUCUUGUCUCAUCUCUCUCAUAUUAGAAACAAACUCUACCUUAAACAAAGCUAAAAUUAAUUAAGGAUGAUGAUGCAACUUAAAGUAGUCCUCACAACGUUGGUGUGUUGGAGCAUAAUAAUUAGUUAUCACUGUGUAGUUGGAGAUUCACAAACAAGUACUGUACUGAACAGUGGAUGCAGCACAUUUAACGCAUCAAAUUUGCGUAGCUUCUAUGCAAACAUUAAUGGAACAUUUUCAGAUUUGAGAAAUCAAAUUAGCAAUGGAAGCAAACACUUUGCAAUAGCACAAGAGGCGAGAGGAGAGGUAAUAGUAUAUUCUCUUUUUCAAUGCAGAAAUUACCUCUCCAAAAAGGAUUGUGUUGCUUGCUUCAACACCGCUUCUACUCAAAUUCGUAACUGUUCAGCUUCCAAUGGUGCCAGACUCAUAUAUGAUGGAUGUUUCCUAAGGUAUGUAUGUGGGUGUUAAGAUUUUAGUAUAUAUUUUUCUCUUUUUUUUUAAAUUAAUUAAUAUGCACUAUCGAUUCAUCAUCAUUAUCCGUUUGCAUUACUUUAUAGAUUUUAAAAAUAAAAGUCAAACUUGUCUCAAUAUCCAACGGUUAUAAUUUACUGACGGUGUAAAAUUCUUUUAUACUGACAGUGGAUAUCAAUUAUAUUCUUUUUUAUUUAAAUUAUUAGCUCAAAAUACUAAUUUAAUUUGUUUUCAAACACUAAUCUCAAGUUGAUGGCUAGCACUAGCUGGUUUAUGUCAUAAUAUGAUUGAAACUUUCUUGUCGAGUUCUCUAUCUUUUGAAAAACCAAAACCAAAAUAUUAAUUACAAAAAUAUCACUUUCCUUGAAAUUAAUUUUUCAAACUAUUAGUUGUUUAGUUUUAUACUUCAAGUCGUAUGUUUUUAUUCGUGAGAGAAGGAAAAAAGAUUUAAAAUACGCGCAAUUUCAUUUUCAUUGAAAGGGGUGUAUUGUUAUAGUGAAAAAAAAUAUAUCAUUUUAUAUAAUAUUUAAAAAUCAUAUUAUUAUAUAAUAAAUCUUAAUCAUCUCGAAGAAUUAAUGAGAAAAAAUAUCAUAAUUUAACAACAACAAAAAUUAAUUCGUAAAAUUAGAAAUGAAACUUCACGAUUGUUAUUCAUAAAUGAUUAAAUCAAUAUUAACAAAUAUAGAUUAAAAAAUUUAAUAUGAUUAAAUCAAUAUUAACAAAUAUAGAUUAAAAAUUUUAAUCAUACAUAUAAUAAAUGAUUAAAUUGAAUCAUAAAAAUCUAUAUUAAGAAAUAUCAACAAAAUAAUCAAUAUUAAUUAACAAAUUACUAAAUUGAUUUGAUAAGAUAAAAAUGUUCUUCGUGUAAAUGUCAAAAAGAAAGUUACUUUUAACACAAUAGCAGAUCCAGACAUUAUUUAUUGACGUGGCUAAACAUGAAAAGAUUAUGAAUUAAGUUAUAUUAAAAAAAAAAAAAAUAUUAUUUAAAGUAAUAUAUUUAUAAUAAAAAUUGUCUAUCAAAUAUGAGAGAUUAACAAAUAUGAAAGUGAGAGAAAUUUGAGAGGUGAUAACAGUGUUUCAAAAUCUGAAUUGAACCAGCCAAUCGAAUAAGGAACCAAAGGACUCAUUAGUCUGAUUUGAUUGUUAGAUCGAGUAAGUUAUUAAACUAAUGAAAAUAGGUCAUUACCGGCCAAAAUCGACGAGUUGGUGAUUUUGGAAAAUCGACGGGUUAAGUAUUUUUUUUCUCAAACAAAACAUCAUUGUUUUAAUAUUUUUCUUAAAAUAAAAUUAAAAUAUAAAUAGACUUUGUUCAAAACUUAUUUAAAGCAAUUUUUCCUUUGUAAUUAAAUUUAUUAGACACGGUAUUUAUUUUGUUAUUCAAUUUAUAUUACAAUUAAUUAUUUUUUUAACUUAUUUGGAUUUUAUAUUUUUUAUUAUUUUAUUGUGUGCGGUGCUUAUGUUUAGAAUUUGAUUUUAAAAAAUGAACAUGUAAAAUUAUGUUAUUUUAAAUUUGAUAGGUAUCGUGAUUUUUUCAGAUAUUAAGCCAUUUGAUUCGGUCAGUUUAAUAACUAUAUAGUUUUGUUCUAUAGAUUGGUUUAUUCAAUCGAGUUAUCCACUUUAUUCAACUGAGUUGUUUGAUUUAAUCUGAUUUAUCAUGCGGUUUUGACUAAUGACUCGGUGGUUGACCAAUAAACUAGUGAUCUAAUACUCUCAUUGAUUUAAUGAUCAGACCGAUUUUUAAAAUAUUGAAUGAUGAGAUUUAAGAGGAUGAGAAAAUUUUGAAAGAUAAAAAUGAGAGGAAGAGAAAAAAAAUAUUUUAACAUCACGUUUGUAUUCAAGAAAAAUACAAUUUCUAUAUCUAGAAUCAAAUUUGAUUCUACUACAUUUAGAAGUAGCACCAUAUACCAAACAUCCAAAAAAAAAUCAUAACACUAUAAGGUAAAAAAUGGAUAUUAUAAUUUUUUAAAUGAGUCUCUUAAUAAGAAAAAUAAUAUGUGAGUGUUGGAGUUCAACAAUGAACUUCCAUUAAUAAUGCAUAAAAAGAUGAGGAAUAGUUGCAGAAAAUUGAGAAAAAAAACAUAGAAUUAUGUAAUUAACUUUCUAAUCUCAAAAUUGCAAAAACUUAAAAUUUGCUACAACUACAAAUACAUUUGGAUUUAUAUAGACACCAAAUUCAACUCAAAUCCAUAUGAAACUUAAAUGCAAAUGAAAUUCAAAACUAAACUAACUUGAAUGUUGAAUUACAUUCAACACCAUCUCUUAGUUCACAUUCAAGUUUAAACAAUAACACCAAUUUCAUCCCUCAAAUUAAUGAAGUGCUCAAUUGUGAUUGUCUUGGUCAGCACAUCUCCAAGUUACUUCUGAGUGCUAACAUGCACAACCUCAAGUACUUCAUUCUGAACCUAAUUGCGCAAAAGAAUAGUACUUGGCAUCAAUGUGUUUGUUUCUUCCAUAUAACACUAAUUUCUUAGCAAGACUUAUGACAUAUUUGUUGUCAAUCAUCAACUUGAUUGGUUUGCUCACCUUGAACUUCAGUUCCUAUAGCAAAUUCAUUAGCCAAACAGGCUGACAAGCUGAUAGAGUAUCAGCUAUGUAUUCAACUUCACAGGUUACAAUGCAACCACUGGUUGCUUCUUGGAACACCAAGAAAUGAGGACUCCCAUAUACAUAAACAUGUAUCAUUUAGUGCUUCUUUUGUCAACUUUAUCACCACACCAGUCAGAGUCAGAGUAGCAUAUCAACUCAGCAACAUUGACACUCCAGAUGAAAACAAAACUUCAUGCCUCAUAGUUCCUUUUACAUACCUCAGAAUCCUUAGUGCAGUUUGAUAAUGUGACCACUUUGGUUUACUCAUAAUGCAUAACAUAUGUUAAGCCUGGUGUUACAUAGAUAUCUCAGACAGCCAACCAACUGUUUGAAGGUUGUGGCAUCUACAUCCUCACCAUCAUCAUCAGAGUCUACCUUAUGAUUUGUCUCAGCAAGUGUGAUUGUUGACUUACAAUUCAUCAACUCAAAUCUCUUCAGCAGCUCAAGUUCAUAAUACAGUUGAUGAACAAUAAUUCCCUUCUCAUAUAGUAUAAAUUGGAUGUAGAAAAUAAUUUGUUAAGUGUUAACAAUUUGCAUAAAAUAAUGCAUCAAUAAAAAAACUGAAUAAAAAACUCAACAAAAUUUCAGAACAAGAUUGAAGUGAAUUGUAGAUUUGGAGUGAUUCAACAGAAAAAAUAAAAAAUAAAAAUAUGUUUAGGGAUUCAAUUGAAUUGAAGUAGUAUUAAAAUUGGGGAUAGAGAAUUUGAGUAGUAUUCAAUAUUUUAAUAUUUCAAUUGAGGAUUAGAAUUUUUAUUAAUGGAUGCAAAAUGAAUUUUUAUCUAUGGAUGCAAAUUGAUUUGCGUUUUCUAAUUCAGAGGGAUACAAUCGUGAUUUGAUGGAUGGAUGAUACAAACUGUAUUGAAAUUGAAAUUGAAAGUUGGAAUAAAAGAAAGUGAAACGGUGCACAUAAAAAUUUGGGCCUAACAUAUGUAUAAUUUUUUUAUAAUACUAUGGGUAUAAAAAAGGGUUUAAUAUGUGUAUAAUUUGCUUAUAAUAUUAUGUGAGUAUUAAAAAAAAUUGAACCCCUAAAAUCUUGGGCUCUAGGUCGUCGCACUCCUGGCCUUAGACCAGGGUCGGCCCUGUUGUUAAAAUUGGCAAUGACUUCCUCUUUCUAAAUCGGGCUACCAAACUCAUUUUUGUUGAAUGAGCAAAGAUAAAGUUUUAUGAAUGUGAGGGAGCAUAUUCAUUAGCAUGAUAUGUGACCUAACCGGAGUGUAUCACUCAUCUAGGCCUUUGAGGAAAGAUAUGACAUAGUCACUCUUUAUAUGAUUUGAUUGUGUGAAUGAAGUCGCAUGAGCAUUUCAAAUUGCGGGAGCAUUUUGGUAGAGGACAGAAAUUAGCAAGUUAUUUCCCUAGCUUUUUGAGAAUUGUGUAAAAUUGGAUAAUUGUUUGGUGAUAGCGCUCUCAAAGUUUAUGUCAAACCUCGUGCACAGUGUUCAUCCAUACAAAAUAUGGGUCAAACAUAUCUGGUUCAUAAUUUAUGGUGUUUGUGGAAGGGGUGGUUUUGAUAGAGAAUAUUUAUGGAGAAGAAGAUGUUGGUGAUGGUGGGGUAAGGGAGUUUUCAAGGGUUUCCAUCGUCUGUAAUGGUGGUUAGUGUUAGGUUUCAAGGUCGAUUUAUUUUUAGAGCGCAUAACAAUAAUGACUGAUCUUGACCAAAAUGGUAAUUGAAAUUGUUGAGAGGUGGUGAAACAUUGCUAGACUACGGUUAUCUCUUGAGAUGCAUGAAGUAUGGGACAAGCAUGACUACUUGAUAAUUUAUGGUGGAUAUUUAUAGAGAAGAUGUUGGUGAUGAUGGUGUAAAGGAGUUUUUAGGGUCGAAGAUGGUUUCAAGGGUGGCCAUCCUCAAUGAUAGUGGUUAGUGUAAGGUUUAAGAGAGAGAGAGAGAGGGGGGGAGGGAGAGGGAGGGAGAGAGAGUUGUUUUGUUUGUAGGUGAUAGGUGAUGAUAACAUGACUACCCGAAGAGAUUUGAGAAGUUGCGGAAAAAAAGACACAUGUAAAUAUUUUAGCAAAGAGAUAAGAUUGUGAUUUGAAAGAAGAUAAGAUUCCGUCGAAAUAGUGAUAGUAAUGAGUAGGGCUCGGAUGUACAUGUCUUCGUAUCCGUAAUUUAAAAAAAUAUUUAUACUCUUAUGUUAUGGAUACCUAAGUACCAUUAUCCAUACAUGUUACUCACGGUUCUAGUAACAAUAAAUCUAUCAAUUGAAAAAUAUUAGAUCAUUUUAAAUUUUUAACAAAAUUAACAAUUAUGUAUAAUAGUUAUAUUAUGAAAUAGUUUAAUUGAGAUGUAUUUUUUUUUAAAGAAAUAAACCUACAUUUUUUAUCGAUGAUAUAAAUUAAAAUAUAUAAAUAUUUUUUUCUAAAGCAUGACUUCAAUGUUGGAUGGUACUCUCUAAAUAUAACAUGGCAAUUAUUAAGGUACGAGAGUGAAAGAUUCUACGAUCAAACAAAACAACCUGGGGGUGGUAUAUUAUGUGGGAACAAGACUGCAAAGGAAGGUGCCUCUUUUGGAACUACUGGACAAAAAGUGCUAAUGGAUCUCCAAUUAGCAACACCAAAAAUUAAAGGCUUUUUUGCAGCUACGAAGACUCUGGUGAAUCCUGGUAGCAAUAGUUCAAUUUAUGCCAUUGCACAGUGUGUCGAAACUGCCACAGAAAGUACUUGUCUUGAUUGCAUGACAGCUGGACUCAACAACUUGCAAACUUGUCUCCCUAAUACAGAUGGUAGAGCAUAUGAUGCAGGGUGUUUUAUGAGAUAUUCGGAGACACCCUUUUUUGCUGAUAAUCAGGCCAUUGAUAUCACAAACUAUUUAAAUCAAGGUACAAAUAUAAUAUAACAUAAAGUUCACUUUUCAUUGAUGUUAUAGAUUAGUAGUACCUCAUUUCAUUGAAACUGAUGUAAACUCUUCUUUUCUGUUAUGAAGGAGGUUCAAGCAACAAAUGGGCCAUUAUAGGUGGUGUUGUUGGAGGUGUAGGUCUUGUUGCGAUCCUUCUUGCAAUUUUAGCUUGGCGACAAUACAGAAAACCCAAGAGAGCUCCUAGAGGUCUGUGAUGCUUGUUGCUUUAGUGUGUAUUCUAUGUGAUGUUUGAUUCUAGUUUUGGAUCUGCCUUCAAACUCAUGUGUUCCUUGGCAGGCAACAUAUUGGGAGCAACUGAGUUGAAAGGUCCAGUUAACUACAAGUAUAGUGAUUUGAAAGCUGCAACAAAAAACUUCAGUGAAGAAAAUAAACUGGGAGAAGGAGGCUUUGGUGAUGUAUACAAGGUAAGAGAAAAGUUUUUUACAUAAUUUCAAUGAGAAGCAUGUUCAAAGACAAUAAUGAUUCUGUGAGUUUGUCACACACUUUUACAACCAUGCUAUUGAAAUAGGGUACUCUGAAAAAUGGAAAUGUUGUAGCAGUCAAGAAACUGGUUUUGGGAAAAUCCAGCAAGAUAGACAAUGAUUUUGAAAGUGAAGUAAAGCUUAUAAGCAAUGUUCAUCAUAGGAAUCUUGUUAGACUUCUUGGUUGUUGCAGUAAAAAACAAGAGAGAAUCCUUGUUUAUGAAUACAUGGCAAACAGCAGCCUAGACAAAUUCUUAUUCGGUAAAUCACUUCAAUUCAACCACACUCAUAAAUCAUUUAAUUUGUUGAAUGCUUCUUCUUCUACCUUUUUCAUAACCUCAAGUAUAUAAACAUGUUAAUUAAAUAGGUGACAGACAAGGUUCCCUCAAUUGGAAACAAAGGCGUGGUAUAAUUUUAGGCACAGCAAGGGGACUGGCCUAUCUACAUGAGGAAUUCCACAUUUCCAUUAUACAUAGAGAUAUAAAGACUAGCAAUAUCCUCCUUGAUGAUAAUCUUCAUCCCAAAAUUGCUGAUUUUGGAUUGGCGCGGCUUCUGCCGGGGGAUCGAUCUCAUCUAAGCACAGGAGUUGCAGGAACAUUGUAAGACAACAAUUUCAUUCACCUAGAUUACAUUUAAUUGAACAGAAUAUGUUAUAAAAGAGAGAACUAAGUCUCAUGUCAUGUAUAAAUCUUGUUUUGUUGAUCUUGGAAUGUAUAAUCUGCAUUUGUCAGGGGAUACACAGCACCUGAGUAUGCAAUCCAUGGUCAAUUAUCAGAAAAGGCUGAUACCUACAGCUAUGGUAUUGUAGUCCUAGAAAUCAUAAGCGGUCAAAAGAGUACAGAAGUGAAGAAAGAUGAUGAUGGUGAAUACCUUCUUCAAAAAGUAAGCAAUUUUCUCACAAGUCAUAACUAGGAAUUGUUGGUUAUUACCUCUCUAGUCAUUUUAAAAGAACCGAAGGGACUAUGUUCUAAUAUUUUACCAUAUGGUGUUUGAUUUUCACUCAACAGUCAUGGAAACUGCAUGAGAGAGGCAUGCACUUGGAGCUCAUGGACAAGGCUUUAGACCCUAAUGACUAUGAUGGAGAAGAAGUGAAGAAAAUGAUAGAGAUUGCUUUACUAUGCACUCAAGCAUCAGCAGGAAUGAGACCAACAAUGUCUGAAGUAGUAGUUCUCCUCCAAACCAGGAGUUUAGUGGAGCACCUACAACCAACUAUGCCUGUGUUUGUAGAUACGAAUCUUAGGUCUCGUGAAGGACACUCUACCUCAACUGGUUCUUCUACAUCUAAUGCUACUGCCUCCUUUUCAAUUUUAUCAGCUCGAUGAUUAUAUGCAGCAGUAAAGGGAAUUGAACCAAAAAGGUGACAAAAUAAACCAGAUGAGGGUUACUCUUCAUUGAUUCCAAUUGCUCACCAACCAUAUAGGUAGAAAAUAUAAUGGGAAAUAGUGACUAAUGUGGUGUUCGAUUUCAACAAGAGAAUUAAGAUAUAGUAUUAUACAUUAGACAGAUAAAAAGUUGCAGCUAUGUUUGUUAUGAACUUAUUGUGAGCUAGUUAGUUUGUUACAAAGGAGUUUUCCUUAUUUAUUUUUCUUGUAAUAUAAAUAUACAAUGUAUCUCUUCAUUAGGAGAGAGAAUAAUUCAUACCCAAAAGAGACACUUUCAUCAAAGUGCUUGCAUGCUCAGCACAUUACAUGUUCUUCAAAUUCAACAUGGUGACAGUACACAUCUCCACUUAUGUUGAGCCCAUUGAUAAUGGACAAGUGUGGUGAUUUUUAUUCAUUAUUAUACUAUAAUAUACUACAUUACAAAAGGCUACUAG